Molecule: long non-coding RNA, 60320 nt
Filed under: Fragaria vesca (wild strawberry)
Lineage: Eukaryota; Viridiplantae; Streptophyta; Magnoliopsida; Rosales; Rosaceae
Description: long non-coding RNA (FVES_LNC003904)
Rfam family: tRNA (bases 33381-33453)
Source: RNAcentral
GUGUGCCUUGGUCUAAUCCUAAUAGGAAAAGGAAUUCGGUCUAAUGCUAAUAUGAAAAGGAAUUUGGUCUAAUGCUAAUAAUUCAAUCUACAAUCUCCUAACUUCAGGAUUCCAUUGACAAUAGUGAAAGCUUCACUAUGCACAACAGCACUAGCGCUUUCUUCUUUCGAACCCACCCACAUCUUUAGAAACCACAUAAGGCUUGCAGUCCAAAUGAUCAGUAGUUGUAUUCUUGUCUGGCAAUUGAAAGUACGUACUCUUUUGUCUCGAAUGCCCAUGUAUCAACAAUGUUAUUUCCUGCAUUACACAACACAUCGGACCGUGGCAUUUCCACACGAAUUGGGACAUUGCAUAUGGUGCUUAAGACUAUCACCAACAUGAAUUGAUGCAACAACAUGGACAUUUUGCUUAUCCAUCGUCUUAACAUUCUUAUCAGACUUGUCAUUAUCACAAAUCACAUCAACACUAGAUAACUUGCCACCAAGCACAUAACUAAUACCACCACGACCAUUAUUCAUGAAGCUGAAAUUCCCAAAAGAUGUAGAAAUGGCAUCGUCGAGCAGAAGAAACUCCGAAAAUUGCUCUUCUGGUAUUUGAUGGUCUUAUGGAGCAUGGAUGCUCCAUGCUCCUAGCCAUUCUACAACAACUUUGCGUGACUGUUAUAACUCCUAUAUCUUUGAAUUUGUUAUGACUGCUUCUUUGCGAGGCUGUUAGUACAACAACUUGAUUUUGCUUUGGUUCUUGAUUUAUGUUUUAACUACCAUAUAAUUCUUUCAUCAUCUUGGUUAUUAGGAACCUACCAGUUUCCUGUAAAGACAUGACAUCCAUAUUUGAAUAAAAGGUUCAGACAUGACACUUUGCAACAAAUUUUAAUGGGCAACAUUUUCUUGAUUGAUGAUAUGCUCAAUAGUUUUUAACUUCUCUAAAAAAAUAACCAUUACAACAUUUCAUUCAGUUUUUUUGGAGUUCUGAAACUUUAAUUAACGGACCAAAAGUGCCUUAUGUCUGAAGUGUGGUUGCUGCUCUCAAAUUGCUACUAGCCUACUACUGCCCUUCAUCCAAUUGCUACAAGCGUAAUGUGAUUCUCAUCUUCACUAAAUUCAAUGCCUUGCUCAAUCAUGAAUAUAUAUACCAGAAGAACUACUCUAGGGAACAUGACUUCCAUCAUUUCUACCAUCUCUCUCUAGUUGAAAAAAGGUACAAUUACAUUGGGUGACACAUCUGCAGCAGCUUUGGCAACCAUAUACUUCCUCUGCUCUGGGUUGUCAAUACCACGUGAUUCAUAAUCUUCAAUAGCUUUUUCUUCAACCUUGUCUUUUUUUUUUUAGGUACUUGUCAUGUUCUUCUCUAUUAUGUCUUUAUAUAGUUUCAUCAAAUGUUGAAAGACAAACUUGUAGUAAUAAAUGAAUCCCUUACCGUUCUUGAGAUACUCCUCUCCAUAUUCAUUGUAGACAGCUUUAAAGAAUUUGGUUGCUUCUACCUUUCGUUUAACGACAUCAUCUAUAUUUGUUUCUAUGCUCAAAGUCAGAAUAUACUCUUCAAGGUCUGCCCAUAUUCCUUGGUAGGUUUUUGCUCUCUGUGAAAACGUAGGAUAUGCAUGACACAUGAUCUCCCUUAUUUCUUCGUCUGUUAACAGUGAAGGAUGAUAGAAUAAUUACCGAAAUUUGUUCCUACAUGCAAGUGAGAAUGUAAAAACCAAGAUAAUAUGUUGAACUAUUAUUGUUUGUUUACGUUUUUUUAUAUUACUAAACACUUUAAAUGAAAGUGAUUAUGAUUACUGAAAUAUGCAAUUGUUAUGGCAAUUAACGUUCCUAGCUGACUCAGUUAUGUUUUGUUUACUUGCACAUUGUUAUCCACUCUUACUAGCAUCUGUAGGAAAUAUUUGAAUUCUCCAGGAUAAUCGUGUUCCUCUGGAUGCAGCUUCUCGGCCAAGCGAUAUAGGGAUUCUGGGUACAGAGUUUGAUACUCUUCAUGGUUCAAUGUGUACCUUCCUCCGGCAUUUACAACUAUGUUGUCAACGGUUAGUUUGCCUAUUAAGUUUCCAUUUCUCAUCAUGUUGAUACAGUUCCAAAUGGUGUCCUUGCAUUUGUUUUUAAGAGAUCAAAUAACACAGUCAACCAAAAUUGAUUGCAUAAUAUGUAGAUAAAUUAUGAGACUUGUAAUAGGGUAAUAGAAUGAUAUGUUAAUUCUUUAUUAUCUUAUAUAUGUUAUAGGUUCUUGUCCAGAGUGUAGUUUUUUUGUUUAUUGUUUUUGUUUUGUUGAUUUGGUGCAGAUGGUGGUGGUGAUGAUGAGAGAUGUGUGUGGGGUUGGACACAAGAAGGUCUCUUGAGGUUCUGCAGAACUCGUCUCUGAUUUUUGCAGAGGAGAGGAUUCCUAUGAAGGACCCUAUUGGCGAGUUUCAUAAGUACACUGGUGGUUAGAAAAUAUCAGCAAUGAUCAUGACUGGGCUGUGAGUUAUUGUAAUCUUUAUAUUAGUUGCAACAAUCAUUUGUUUAGUGCUAAUUUCAAUUUCACAUUAUUAAGUACUAGAUUGUGUAAUUAAAAAUCUUCCAGUUCUCAUCAACAAAGGCAUGCGUACAUUAUGAUUAUACAUCAAUUAUGUAAGGCGACCGUGAUUGUAAUGCACGUAUCUUCUGUAUGAUAUUGAAAACUACAACUAUUAUCCAACUUUGUCUUCUAUCUUCUGCCUAAGAUUGUAAUGCAAGUCUACUUUUUGUCUACAACAACAGCUAUCAAUGUAAUACGCAAUGAAAUGUGUAAUGCAAUAAGCAGCUAUCAAUGUAAUGCGCAAUGUAAAACAAAUUGUUUUGGAAGAAAGAACAAACAACAGCAACCGAAAGAUUGCAAGAAGAAGUUGGUUUGGUAGUGAUGCACAAUUUACAUCUAUCAAGGUAAUGCACAAUUAAUGUAAGGCCUCGAAAGCUAGUUGCAUACCUGUAUAGUUGGUACACAGCCCUUGGAACCUUGUUCUUCGCAACAAGGUUUUCUGCAAAUGAAUCAUAAUUCUCCGGAUGGGGAAUUAUGUCCUCUCUCAAUGUCAACUGUUUCAUAGAGUAAAUUAAAUCAAUACGUGAAGGUGUUAUAAUGAUAAUGAGAUCAUCUUGGUUAUUAGGAACCUACCAGUUCCCCUGUAAAGACAGGGCAUCCAUACUUGAAUAAAAGGUUCAGACAUGACAUUUUGCAAUAAAUUUUAAUGGGCAGCAUUUCUUGAUUGAUGAUAUGCUCAAUAGUUUUUAACUUCUUUGAAAAAAUAAACAUUACAAUAUUUCAUUCAGUUUUUUUGGAGUUCUGAAGCUUUAAUUAACAGACCAAAAGUGCCUUAUGUCUGAAGUGUGGUUGUUGCUCUCAAAUUGCUACUAGCCUCCUACUGCCCUUCAUCCAAUUGCUACUAGCGUAAUGGAAUUCUCAUCUUCGUUAAAUUCAAGAAAAAAAUUCAGUUUAUUACCCUGAACUUUAGGUCUAAAAUCAGUUUGAUACCUCAUCUUUUUUUUUAAUCAAUUUCAUACCUAAACUUUCAAAAUGACAUCAAUCUCGACCAAAAUGACUAAAAUAGCCCUGAUUAAUCUUUUUACCCUCUCUCUCCCUGCCUCCAAAUCCACCACAUGGCCGGCGCCGGCAUCCACCCCUACCACCAGCAAUGGGCCCCGGCGGCAGCCCCUCCUCCUCCCCCGGCCGUCGCCGCUGCCAUUCUUAACUCUGAGUGGGUAAAAAGAUUAACCAGGGCUAUUUUAGUCAUUUUAGUCGAGAUUGAUGUCAUUUUGAAAGUUUAGGUAUGAAACUGAUUAAAAAAAAGAUGAGGUAUCAAAAUGAUUUUAGACCUAAAGUUCAGGAUAGUAAAAUGAAAUUAUCUCUAAAUUCAAUGCUUUGCUCAAUCAUGAAUAUAUAUACCAAAAGAACUACUCUUGGGAACAUGACUUCUAUCAUUUCUACUAUCUCUCUCCGGUUGAAAAAAUAUACAAUUACAUUGGGUGGCACAUCUGCAGCAGCUUUGGCAACCAUAUAUUUCCUCUGCUCCGGGUUGUCAAUACCACAUGAUUCAUAAUCUUCAAUAACUUUUUCUUCAACCUUGUCUCUUUUUUUUAGGUACUUGUCACGUUCUUCUCUAUUAUGUCUUUAUAUAGUUUCAUUCAAAUGUUGAAAGACAAACCUGUAGUAAUAGAUGAAUCUCUUACCGUUCUUGAGGUACUCCUCUCCAUAUUCAUUGUAGACAACUUUGAAGAAUUUGGCUGCUUCUAUCUUUCGUUUAACGACAUCAUCUAUAUUUGUUUCUAUGCUCAAGGUCGGAAUAUAUUAUUCAAGGUCUGCCCAUAUUCCUUGGUAGGUUUUUGCUCUCUGUGAAAACAUAGGAUAUGCAUGGCACAUGAUCUCCUAUAUUUCUUUGUCUGUUAAUAGUGAAGGAUGAUAGUAUAAUUGCCGAAGUUUGUUCCUGCAUGCAAGUGAGAAUGUGAAAGCCAAGAUAAUAUAUUGAACUAUUAUUGUUUGUUUACGCUUUUUUAUAUUAUGCUAAACACUUUAAAUGAAAGUGAUUAUGAUUAUUGAAAUAUGCAAUUGUUAUGGCAAUUAACGUUCCUAGCUGACUCAGUUAUGUUUUGUUUACUUACACAUCGUUAUCCACUCUUACUAGCAUCUGUAGGAAAUGUUUGAAUUCUCCAGGAUAAUCGUGUUCCUCUGGAUGCAGCUUCUCGACCAAGCGAUAUAGGGAUUCUGGGUACAGAGUUUGAUACUCUUCAUGGUUCAAUGUGUACCUUCCUCCGGCAUUUACAACUAUAUUGUCAACGGUUAGUUUGCCUAUUAAGUUUCCAUUUCUCAUCAUGUUGACGCAGUUCCGAAUGGUGUCCUUGCAUUUUUUUUAGGAGAUCAAAUAACACAAUUAACCAAAAUUGAUUUUUUCCAAGACAAAGUGCAUAAUAUGUAGAUAAAUUAUGAGACUUGUAAUAGGGUAGCAGAAUGAUAUGUUAAUUCUUUAUUAUCUUAUAUAUGUUAUACUUUCUUGUCCAAAGUGUGGUUUUUUGUUUUUUUGUUUUUGUUUUGAGUUUUGUUGAUUUGGUACAGAUUGUGGUGGUGAUGAUGAGAGAUGUGUGUGGGGUUGGACACAAGAAGGUCUCUUGAGGUUCUGCAUAACUCGUCUCUGAUUUUUGCAGAGGAGAGGAUUCCUAUGAAGGACCCUAUUGACGAGUUUCAUAAGUACAUUGGUGGUUAGAAAAUAUCAGCAAUGAUCAUUAUUGGGCUGUGAGUUCUUGUAAUCUUUAUAUUAGUUGCAACAAUCAUUUGUUUAGUGCUAAUUUCAAUUUCGAUUCACAGUAUUAAGUACUAGAUUGUGUAAUUGAAAAUCUUCCAGUUCUCAUCAACAGAGGCAUGCAUACAUUAUGAUUAUAAAUCAGUUAUGUAAGGUGACCGUGAUUGUAAUGCACGUAUCUUUUGUAUGAUAUUGAAAACUACAACUAUUAUCCAACUUUGUCUUCUAUCUACUGCCUAAGAGUGUAAUGCAAGUCUACUUUUUGUCUACAACAACAACUAUCAAUGUGUUCUAUAACAGCAGCUAUCAAUGUCAUACGCAAUGGAAUGUGUAAUGAAAUAAACAGCUAUCAAUGUAAUGCGCAAUGUAAAGCAAAUUGUUUUGGAAGAAAGAACAAACAGCAGCAACCGAAAGAUUGCAAGAAGAAGUUGGUUUGGUAGUGAUGCACAAUUUACAUCUAUCAAUGUAAUGCACAAUUAAUGUAAAGCCUCGAAAGCUAGUUGCAUACAUGUAUAGUCGCUGCACAGCCCUUAGAACCUUGUUCUUUGCAACAAGGUUUUUUGCAAAUGAAUCAUAAUUCUCCGGAUGUCAUCUCUCAAUGUCAACUUUUUCAUAGAGUAAAAUUAAUCAAUACGUGAAGGUGCUAUAAUGAUAACGAGAAACCCUAAACCCUAAUUUAGCUUUGAAUUACCUCUAUUUCGUCAUUGAAUUUCUCCCUAGCCUUGUCCUUUAGUUUGACAUACACGUCUGUUCAUAUAAAUCCCCUAGUUGGGCUUCCAAAGGCUUGUAGUCUGUCAUGAUGUUGGUUUUAAGGGGAGAGAGGCAGUGAUGGGGAGAGGCACGGUAGAGAUGAAGAAGCGAUGGGGAGAGAGAGGGAGUUUAUUUUUUGAUAAGAUGGUUAUGAUCCAUUUUUAGGUGUUGUGGAGUGGCAGAGUGAGAAUCACGUACAGGUUGUGACUUAGGAGAGUGUUCUACAAUGUUGAACAAUUGUGUUUGGAUGAAGAAAUUCUAUUUUCCACGUAAAUUUUAAAGUUAUAGGAAUUACAAUUCAAUGAAUUUAAAUUUCAUUGAUUAAGAAUUCUAUUGUUUAGAUUUCAUGAUGUAGAAUUUUAAAAUGACAAGAAUCAGUAUUUAGACUAGCCUCAGUUGAGGGAAUUGACAAAUGACACCUAUUUUGUGAGGAAUUCAAGUCGGGAAUUUAAGCUCAUAAAUUCCACGAUUAUUUUCCUAUGGAAAUUAUAAAUUCCACGGGAUAAUAACCCAAACGGUGGAAAAAGUCUAAAGAAAUUGAGAAUUCCUCAUUUUUGAUUAAAUUCUCAGAAAUUCACCCGCAUCGAAACACAGACAGUAAUGGAUGCCAAUUCAUUGAUUGAGCUCUACAAUAAUGGAGAGUGUUCUAUUGUAUUCCUGCAUGGCAAUGCUAGCAUGCCAAUAAUUGUUGAGAUGGUGUGAGGAGGAGAAGAACCCGUGAAGUGAUCAAGUGAUGGAAGGAAAGAAUGGAAGAUCAGCAACGUACCAUGUACCCUCAAUACCAAACAGCCCGUGCUCGUCCUUUUGCUAUAAGAAACAUUGUGGUCAUUAGCUCUUUAGAAUAUCUUUGUGCAUGCCUCCACGAUUGCUAUCAACUUUACAUAACAAUCUUGAAGAGACAUGACAUGCAAAAGUUAACAAGAAAGAGAUUCGCUUUUGUUUGCAUUACCGGACCUCCACCAUGGACACUUGCAUCUGAUUGCCGUCGGUAGUAUAGGCACCGGUGUCACAUCCUUGUUCAUUUGUGACAUUGAAACAAAGUUGAUUUAAACCGACUCAUUGGAGUUGAACAACAUAUGAAUCUUUAACUAACUAGCUAAAACCUGACACCAUUUCAUCAGUAGAAGGAAACACUUGUUACAUAUGCAGCUUUCAAUAUGAAGUGUUAUACUCGGGAGCUCUCUUUUAUGAAAUCUUAGCCCCUCGUACCUCUGAAUACAAUAUCCAUGGUCCAUUGGUAAUUCCUCCUCCUCCUCUUUAUCUUCAUUAUUAAUGUUUAAAGUGAGUGCUAUGUUAAACCAAGAAAUUGAACAAAGAACAGAAGUUGAGGUUUCUAGUAGUGAUGAAGAUGGGUUUCAAGGCUCAUGGUUUGCGGCCAAAUCUUUUAUUCAGUACAAGCUUAAACAUAAGAGAUUGUGAAGUUGUUGUUGUUGCUUGUUACAGCUUGAAUGAAGUAGUUGAUGCUUUACUGGGAUGAUGAAUGGUGAGAAGGUAAGAUAUGGGGGAAGGCACAAAGUUUACUUCAAGGGUAGUGAUUAAAUCUGUUUUUACUUCAAGAUUACUUGUCAGACAUUUUGUAGCACACAUCUGCUUUGGAAUCUCUUUGAGCUAUUGCGGUUGGAUUGGGACAAUCAACCUCUCUGCAGGUUUACAUAUACAGGGUUUAGGGGAAUCUUUUCAUCUGAGUCAAAGAAAUGCUUUUAGUAAUGUUGUUAAUAAUCAAAACAAAGGCUAAUGCCAAAUUACUCGCAAUAAGCUGAUACCAGACAGGAGUGCAUUUCAUCACCAAUAAGUAAUAAGGACUUCAGCAAUCCUUCACCUACUGUAAUUAAAUCACAACUUUGAGGUUAUUUCCAGUUUAUCCUAUGACACUAAGACAAUUAAGUUCGUAUAUCACGUAGUCUAAAACUCAGGACAGGACAGGACAAAUUAGGGCUUUUUGAGAAAAUUCAACCUAGCUUGGAAUUCUAUUAUAUUGUUGAUUAUGUUGUAUUCGGUGAUCAUAAGGUUUUGGGUGCAAUAGUUUUGCGUAACUGGGGAACAAGAUUGCCGGAAGAUUAUGGUUCUGUGGAGUUUGCUUCUCACAGCGAUGCUGAGUUUGUCUCGGAAUCCUACCAUGAUGAGCCAAUAAUGCAUGCCAAUAAGUGAUGGAAAGUGAAGAUCAAUACCAAACAACAACCCUGCUCGUCCUGCAAGAGAAGUUGUGGCACGCAAACUCUGUUCAUCGAUCACCAUCACCCCACCACCGCUGUCUCUGCGGGAAACACUGUUUCAAGAGUGCAAUCUACAUCAGAAGAAGAAGAAUAUAGACACCGACUUAUCUAAAGGUGAAGAUGAUCGAACUUCAAAUGUGGAUACAAGUGAUAUGUCGAUCGUCCUUGAUUUACAUUUUUUAUUUAACAAAGAGUUGGUAAUUAAAUUUUUCAUAACACGUACACAUUAUUGCAGUUCCAAGAUAUAUAUCAAAUAUAAGGUAAUGUCUAAAAUAAAAGUUUUGGGGAUCAGACCACAUUUAUUGUUGUUUACAUUGUGUGAUUUCCUGUCGAAGUGAAUGUCAUUUAAUAACGCUCAACUUUCCUCCUACAUUUAAACCCAAAGUUAAAUUCUCCCCCAAUACUUGGAAAAAAAAAAAAAAACAACACAAAACACAAAACCUAAAACCCCUUCAUCACACACACAAAUUCGCACACUCACACUCCCAAAACCCAAAACCCAAAACCUAACAUCUCUCCUCUCUCAGCCUCGUCGGAGACGGCGACGAAGCUCUCGGCGAGCCGUAGCCUCUCUUUUGAUUCGUCUCUUUAGAGGUACGCCCUAGCUAGCUCUAACCUCUCUCUCUCUCUCUCUCUCUCAUAAAUCGAUUUCUACUUCGAUGAUUGAAGGUUUCAAUUUUGAUGCAGGUGACUACAAUACGACUUGGAGCUUUGAUUUUCUGAAGAUAUUUCUCUCAAAGGUAAUUGUUGGAAUCAGCAUUGCGGGGUUUUGAGUUUUGGGUAUUCGAUCUGUUGCUGGGUUUUGUGUUAUUGCUUUGACUGUGUUGCAUGUUGUUCUUCUUUUCUGGGUUUUGGGUUACUGCUUUGGUGGUGUUGCUUUACUCCGAAGCUAGGUUGAUUGGAAUAAUGAAGUGCGAUUGGCUAGUAUAAAGAUGUGAGAUUUUCGAUUUCGUGUGCGAUCUGAACUUAGACUAGUUUUAGAGAUUUAAUUAGCAAUGUUGGUGAUAAUGGGAUAUUUUUUUCUUUUCUAAAUAGAGCCUCCAGGUUGCUGUGUUCAUUAGAGAAUAAUGGUAUGAAUUGAAUGUACUUAGUGUUCUUACUGUAUGGAUGUUUAUCAAUUGAUAGUACCUAUGUAUUUGAUAGAGAGUCAUGAAUUUGGCUGUUGUUAUGUAUCUAAGAAGUGUCUUCAUUACAAGUCUCUCAUUACAAUUCUUACUGUCCCCUGGGUUUUUGUUCAUGCAUUAAAUCCUGAGUUUUAUGCUCAUUUGCUCUUAUAGAAUAGACUUGGUCUUAUUAGCUUCAUUGUGCGAAUACAGGAACUAUGCUCUUUGCUCUUUUGUAACUAUCCCUGGCUUCCUGCCUCCAAUUGCUUUCUAGGAUUGUUGGGUGUUUUAAUUAAGUGAUAAUUAACGGUUUGCUCCUUUACUUUAUAGGAUGUUUCCAAGGAACUGGGGAACGAAAGAAUAUGCCGAUCCGUCAUCGGACGAUGACUUUUCUCAUGGUCCCGCUGAUGGAGGAAGAAGAAGAAGAAGCAGAGGACAAGCAUCAGGAAGUCGGGGUGAUCCACCUAUGAUAGCAGCUUUGAGAACUCCAGUGGUCAAUCAUCCAGGGUUAGUUUCACCACCGCGCGUCUUCUAUGAUGAAUGGAGACGAACUAAAGGGGACAUCUGGAUUUCGAAGCCAAAUAGAAAUUCUCCAAGGAUAGCUGAUGUUCAUCGUUGCUGUUUUAGGUAAAUUGUGCUUUUAUUUUUUAAUUUAUUUUUACAAAUUAUAUUUCACAUAUCUAAAUUUGUUAAUGUUCUUUCUUCUUUCUUUUAAAAAAAUAUAAUAGGCAGGUUGUCCGGGAAUUCAUUGAUAAGUACAUGAUGGGAACUACAACUGGAGUAUUGAGAAGUGUUGCUAUAGUCUUAGGUUCUGUGGUGAUAGAUGUUGAUAGCAAUCCAACCGUUGGACUGAAUAUUCAACUUUUAGAAUUCCUCAAGCCAAGAUUGGGAGACGAUAUGUACAAUGUAGAGUUACAACAUUUCUAUCAAAUGAUUACGCUGUCUACACCGUAAGAAUAAUUAACUUACCCUCUUUUAUACAUGUUUAUGCAUUCGACUUAUUUAUACAUGUUUCACAUACAUAUAUUUCCUGAGCCUGCAUAUUUGGUUUCCAGUUUGUCCUAACAAUAAGAGUAUUAAAUUAUUAUACGAUGUAGUAUAACUGUCUAUCAUCUCACUUUUAUAUGUUUAUUUUGUUGGAAGGCAAAACUGUUGGAUGCUUCAGCAUCAUCCAAUACUUAUGUCUAUUACGGAGCGUUAUCAAUUUCCCACUGAUACUCGCUUGGGGAUUCAACAUAUUACAAACUGGGAGUCCGUUUUUGAUCAGUAUGUGGAGGAAACUUGUGGUGCAGCUGCAGAAAUUAUGAUCAAGCCAAACAUUACAUCCCAUGCUAUCUUCCUUGAUGUGUUCAAUAGCUAUAACAACGACAAUCCAAUAAAAGGUUUCAUUAACAGUUGUGCGGGACUAUCCAGAUUUGCAGAAGCUCUGUUUAUUCAUGGUUCUGAUGGUGGUAGAGAUUUGGUAUGUAGUUAAUGUAUCUUCAUUUUAUUUUUAUUUUUAUCUUAUUUAAGUAAUAUUUUCUUAUUUACUUAUUUAAUUUAUUUUUUUAGCAACCUGAAGUUGUAGAGCGAGAAUUGAGCAAUAGGUUUCCUUUCAUGUUGAUCCUGAAGUUCCAAUUUCUAUUCCAAAGAAUGUGUCUGAUUGAUGAUCUUGCUUUUUUAGCUAACCGCCGGUAAGUACUUUUAUUUUUUGUAUGUUUGUUUCUAGUUUUUGGAAUUUUGUUUUUAUAUUUGUCAUUUUGGAUAUUGUUUGUUAGUUCUUUUAAACAAAGACAAUCGGUUAGUUAUUUUCUUUUUAAUUGCAGGCCUGCAAUUGAUGAUGGUAUUUGUUAGACAAAGCUACAAGAAGUGGAAGAAUGAAAUUUAUUCAACAUCUUGUUUUAUGAACUUGUUACUUUUGUAUGUAAAAUUCUGGACUUAAAUUAGUGUGAUGGAAAUUUGAUUCUGCUACCUUUGUAGUUUCCUAUCCAGCUAGCUUUGUACUUUGUGGUUUCUCCGGCCCUUGUGGCCUUGUGGCCUUAAUGAAGUUGCUUUUUGAUAAAAAAAUCUGGAAAUUUGAUUCUAAUUAAGAUAAUUUUGGUUGAGCUUGCCUUAGAACCCAACCUUCUCAUUUUCUAUACUUAGUUCAAGCACUCAUAUCUACACUACUUAUAACCAGUGAUUAACAUCAAGCGCUGAAAUCUACACUGUACAAUAGCAACAAGCAUAUAUUACUAAAAUUUCCCAACAAGGCAACAGCAUGGUACCAGACUUCUCUUACAUACAAGAAUUCAUAAGGUGGUGCAAUCACCCGAGUAUCAUUUUCAAUUUUCAGACACUUAUGUCAGUCCCGAAUAAUUCUUAGUGCUCAAAAUCUAUUGCAACCAAAUUUAUAGUCACUCACCCAACAGGCGUUUACAGCUUCAGACGACCCAAAACUUAGCAUUUCCCCUCAAUCCCUGAUUCCUGAAAAGUUGACAUGUCCAACUUAAACACCAAAUUUGAUAGAGGAAUAAAUCAUAGUGAAUUUCUCCAAUAAAAGCUAAAAACUACGACAACAUGGUUCAUGGUGUCGAAUACAGAUACGAAUAUUGCUUGCUCAGUGGGGAAUUUUAAGUGAAUACACUACUAAAACUAUAAUCAGUAUCAGUACCAUCAUAUACAGUUAUACACCACAUUACGCAGAAAUGUAGAGAGAAGCAACUACAACUAUACAAGACAUAUCAAGGAAUUUGUGCAUAUCAAUGAGUGUUCCUUUUCUAGUGUUGGUGAGUUAUGAAUUGCAAUAGUCAAAUAUACAUGGUCUGAAUGAGCAACAAAGAAUUGAAUGUUCUUAUAUUUCGACCAAACUUUUCCUAUUAUCAAAUAAUUGGUUUUUUUUUAGUACUUCAUGAACUAAUGGGAUUCGAAUGUUUAGAUCGGAUUUGAGUAUACGAUUCUCACAAGAUUCUCGCUAUAAUCCAUUGCUAUACGUUUUAUGUAAUAUUAAAAAUAGAACGUUCUUUUUAAAAAAGAAAUACAAUAUUUAAUCAAUGAGGAUAUUGGUCUGGGUUUCAUUCAAUCUAACCCAAACUUACCUGGGUCUCAAUUUGUUGAUCUGCCCAUUUUGAUGGGUGGAAAACAUGUUUGUUUACGGAGGAGGACUUGCUCUAAUCGGAUAUCUUGCAAGCCAUGCCGCCGUAUCCUCAGGAGAAUGAGUUUCGCUCCAUACGGGUCGACGCCUUGCCGCCAAUGUCAGAUGCGAUUUAUCUCUUCAGCUGCUUCCAUGACAACGCAAAGGUAUCUCUCUCUCUGUUUAUCUUAUUAAGAAUUUUGAGGAAAAAUUAUUGAUAUUCUCCUCUUGUAGGUUUUGGCUGCAACCGUUUUGCGUAACUGGCGAACAGGAUUGCCGCUAGGUUAUGGUUUCGUGGAGUUUGCUUCUCACAGCGAUGCUGAGUUUGUCUUGGAAUCCUACAACGGUGAGCGGAUGCCCAACUUCAAUCAUGAGAGAUUCUGCCUCAGCUGGGACACUGAUGGUUCCGGUGCAAGGUGGCGCUGGGAUUAUACUUACGAGAGAUGCUCUUUCUUUGGUUAUAAUAAGAUUGGUAAUGAAAUGGAUGCCAAAACAAUGAUUGAGAACUACAUGGACUCCGUACCCUCUGUUGUUACUACAAAGCGAGCUUACCCGCAAUGUAUGUACGUAUUCUAGACAUGAAUAUGGAACUGUAGGAUUUGGAAAGCUAUGACGUUAUAAUUGUUUGAGUUGAGAUGCUUGAUGGUGUUUCUGAAAACUAUGUCGAGUGUUCUAGUGUGUGCAUGUGUUUCCGAGUAUGUGCGUAUGUAAUCUUAUUACGUGCCUACACCAGUGCUUACGAGCUCUCAUCUUGUGCAGCUGCCUACCCAAAUAGUCCUGCUGCCUAUAUGGAAACAGAUGGUGACAAGCGUUUGAAGCUUGUGGACAUGCCUCUAACUCAUCCUAACAUGUAUCAACAAGGAUAUGCUGGCCCUAGUCUUACAAUCCAACAGGUUGUUUAUUCAGACCUUUUAUCCUUCUUGGUUCUUUUCAUUGAUGCAUGUUAACAGCCUUUUCUUUGUUGAUUCAGAACCAACCAGACCCGAUGCAGCGGAAUGGUGGUUGUGGUGCUGGAUAUGUUAAUGACCAAGUUCCUAAGAGAGCUCUGGAAAUGGUUUCCUCGAUGAAAGAGGAGAAGGAGCUGUAUCUAGGUUUCGAAGAAGUCAACUAUAGAAGAAGUUGUUACGUCUUCCGCACCAUCAAACUGUCCGAGUUAUUGGUUUGCUCUUGUAAAUUCAACAGAGAAGCUCGCGAAAUUACCAGGUGCGUCAAUUGUGCCUCCAAAACCAAAAAGGGAUCUCAGUUGCUCCAGCGGGCUUGGCUCUUCACCGGGGAGAAAGUCCCCGAAAGCUGCGGCGGCAAGGAUGUGAAAAUCCCAACGCGUAUGGGUAGCUGUGCCUACGGCUCCCGAAUCAUCUUCGCCGGUGGCUUGGUUCCCCGACCAGAUGAGGAAACAACAAUGACUGCGGCCCAUGUGCCUUGUGGAGAUGUGUAUAGUUUUGAGCCGGAGUCUUGUGUGUGGAAAAGGCUUGAUUGGAGUAUCCCGAAGGCGAAACCAGAGCCCUUGCUUUUUGAGGUGAACGGAAAUCUCUAUUGUCUUGCCGGUGCUCCUCCUGAACAUCCCUCUUUCGAGGUAUACGAUAGCAGUUCUCGUGAAUGUUUGUUUCUGCCGCAUCCUCCAGAUAGCAUUCCGGAACUAGAUAAUUGGCGUGGUUAUGUACAUUACAGGUCUUUUAAUAGAUUGGCUUGUGCUGUUGUUGGAUCCAAGAUCUUGAUCUCGAGCAUGGGGAACGUGCCAGCCUAUUACAUUCCCAUUAUUUGCUUCGACGUGAAUGACAAGAAACAGAAAUGGAGAAUGAUAACAUCCUUGUUCGAUGGUAAGCCUUUUCCCUUCGAUGGUAGGGCUUUAGUCUUGGACUUGGAUGAUGGUACACAUGAUAAGGUCAUGUUCUCUUUUCGUAAUGAGGGUGAGAUAUCUGUCUCUCGAUUAGUAGUGGAUGAUGAUGGCGAUAUAAGCAUCUCUUACGAAAAAUGGUUGGGGAUUUUUCGCUUGCUCUGUACCUUCGUGUGUAAACAUUCUCCAUCGUCAUACACCUUUGUCGAUCUUGGAGAUAAAACUGUUGCCUUUGUUGUGUGUGCAAACAUGUUUUCUGGGAUCAAGGCUCUUGGGAAGGUGCGUGUUGUUGUCGUAGUAAUUUGCUAUGAUGUGUUGGGCUCAAAAAAAAUCACAAGUGAGAUCCUGGCCACUCGCACAUUUGAGUACAAUUGUCAUUCCUCGGGCGUCAUGUAUACUAAGUUUACCAGUGGCUUUGUGCUCUAACUCAAUCCAUCCAUUGGUAAUUCCUCCUCUUUCUCUUCAGUAUAAAUGUUUAGAGUGAGUGCUAUCUCAAACCAAGAAUUAAUGUUAGACAUGGUUGGUCCUUAUAUAUAGGUCUUUAACUUGUACUGAAUCUAGCUAGCUAUUGCCCAUAUUCAAGAAGUUGUGGACUAGUCGUGACAAUCAUGUGCAGCAACCCUAUUUAUUUCCUCCGAUCAAAAGACAGCAUGAAUGAGAUGCACAUUGCACACACAAUGCACAUUGUACUUUUCUCUUGAUCUUCAGGAUCUGGUUUGUAAAUUUGCGGUGUUGGUGUGCACCUUGUCUGUAACAGAAUAUUUGGAUCAAUAUUUAUCUUUCUAGACGAACCAACAACGGGCCACUCAAGUUGUAUUUUCUUUACCAGCAUAUUAGAUGUUGUUAAGAUAAAUAUUCCUUUUUGUGGGUAUAUUGAAUUCUGCUGUUCUAUCAUUCUGUAUGGAAAAUUGGAACAUUGAAAGAUAUGGACAAGGCACAUGAAUCAAUUAUGUGUUUAGGAAAGCCGAUCAUGCUUUUAGAAACUUUGUUAGUCGGUAAUGUCUGUCUGCACUGUGAUUGUAUUUUGAAGUUAUUGUUGUGCAUGUCUCAAUGUUAAGGUCUGACAGUGUAUUUAAAAUAGAAAACUAGAGAAGUUCAUUAGAACCUAAGCUGCAUGUAAUGGACAAUGCCUACAUUGAGUUAUGAUAAUUAGAAAUGGAAAGAAAUUAGGCUUAUGGAAAUACCUCCAUAGAUUUCUAUCAAUUGAUCUUGUAAAGAUUACCUAAAGGAGGGUUUUGGGGGAAGAGGCCGACGAACAAAACGAUGAUCUCUACUGAAAUAAUUGGGCUCUGUAUCUAAUAAUGGGCUAUGGGUCAGGGCAAAUCUGGAACUGGGCUCCGGUCCAACCCAAGACAUGACAAAACAAAACCCUAAUCGGAGAUCUUGCAAGUCCUCGAGCCAUGUCGUAUCCUGAGGAGAAUGAGAUUCGCUCCAUACGGGUCGACGGAUUGCCGCCGACGAACGAUGCGAUUUAUCUCUUCAGCUGCUUCCAUGACAACGCCAAGGUAUCUCUCUAUUUAUAUAUUUAUUUGAGGAAAAAUCAUUGAAACUGAACCUUGGAAUUCUCUCUAGGUUUUGGCUGCAACGGUUUUGCGUAACUGGCUAACACAAGUGCCGCUAGAUUAUGGUUUUGUGGAGUUUGCUUCUCGGAGAGAUGCUGAGUUUGUCUUGGAAUCCUACAAUGGUGAGCGGAUGCCCAACUUGAGUCAUGAGAGGAGAUUCUGCCUCAGCUGGGACACUGAUGGUUCCGGUACUAGGUGGCGCUGGGAUUAUUUUUACCAAGGUUGCUCUUUCUUUGGUUAUAAUGAUAUUGGUAAAGAUCUGGAUGCCUAUACAGUGAUCAAGGAGCUGCAAUGUAUGUAUUCUAGCCUUGUAUUUCGUUCACUCUUAAAUCAUAAUGUUUUAUAAUUAUAUACUUAGGUUCAUGUCUAUCCUUUACACUAUAAUUUGCUUUCAAGCAGCCAUGAAUAUUGUAUGUCGAGUUUUCUAGUGUGUGCAUGUGUUUCUGAGUAUGUGCUAAAUUAGAACUGUUUUAUUAAGCAUGUGUUUCGAGUGUUCUAUGCUUAAUAACUGCCUACACCAGUGCUUACGUGCUCUUAUCUUGUGCAGCUGCCUGCCCAAAUACGUGUGGAGAUUCAGGGGACACAGAAAACCAGCUAGAUCAUGCAAAGUCGAAUGGUUUAAGUCCUGAUGGCUAUUUGGAAACGGAUGUUGACAAGCGUUUGAAGCUUACGGACAUGCCUCUCACUCAUCCAAACAUGUAUCAACAAGGAUGUUCCGGCCCUAGUCUUACAAACCAACAGGUUGUUUAUUCAGACCUUUCAUCCUCCUUGGCUCUUUUCAUUGAUGCAUGUUAACAGCCUUUUCUCUGUUGAUUCAGAACCAACCAGACCCGAUGCAGUGGAAUGGUGCUUGUGGUGCUGCAUAGGAAAUACCGACUUGACCGGUGUCCUUGUGGUCUAACUCAAUCCAUCCAUGAUCCAUAUAUUGGUAAUUCCUCCUCCUCUUUAUCUUCCGUAGGUAUUAAAGUUUAGAGGGAGUGCUGGUCAAACCAAUAAUUACACUUGUUAAUGUUAAACAUGGUUGGUCCUUAUUGCUUUCUUUGCAUUUGGUUUGUACAUUGUUCACUAUAAACUAAAGAACAGAAAGUUCCGUUGUAGUUUGAUUGAUCACCCCCACCCCAUUUUUAUCAAGAGAAAUAAGCUAUUUUACACUAUGAGCAGUCGAUCUGUGCAUUCAAUGUAGAAGUAAGUAGGCGUCACAGAAGCCUUUAUGCAUUCCAUCCAUGGAUUUGAAAUAUUUAGAUUCAGAUUACGACUUAGAAUGCAUGGUGAUCGAUAUCAUUUAUGUCUUGUAACUGUUGUUUUGAUCCAUUUGCAGGUAUUGUGGUCUGGCAGAUGAGAAUCACAGGUUGGGACUUCUGAGAGUGUCCUUGUGAAAUAGGAAAGUUGAAUGGAGAUCAUUUAUCAAUGCAAUGGACGUGCUUAUAAGAACUUAGGUAGUCGGUUAUGUCUGUUUGUGAGUUUGGGGAACUGGAAUUGGUGCACUGUGAUUGUGUUUUGAAAUUAUUAUUGUGCAUGUAGAAUCAAUUAAUUUGUCUGUUUUGCGAUUCUGAUGAGGUCUGACAGUUUACUUAAAAUAUAAGUUAAUUAGAACCUAAAAUACAUGCCUACAUAGAACUAUACUUCAGGCAGGAAAAAAAAAAUGUUCGACUCUAGUGGACUCCCAAAUUAGAGCUACACACAAAAAUGUUGAGCCCCUUUUCGACAACAGCAUCGUGGAUGAGUUUGAGUGACUCUUCUAAAUCAUCCAACAACUUUUCAGGAUCAGGAAUCACAUUGGGGUCAACAACUAAGCUCACCAAAAUGCAGCAACAAUUUUUAGCGAAAGUUGAGAGAACAAAAUGAUGAAACCUUUUUUAUCAAUUGGUUUAAAAUCAGUACCAGAAGUAUAAACGAAAAUAGAGAACCUACAUGGGGGUGGCCGUAAACAUUAGGAGCAGUAAUAGCUAAUUUCUUCAAGGGGACCAAUCAAGUUUGUGAAGGCUAGUGUCGAGUUACAAAGAACUCUGUGUGCUACUGCUCUUGCUCCCUGUAAGACCAUACGUACCAGAGCAUGAAGCAGCUGUAACUGUGUAACUCAAUAUGAAUUAUGAUUUUGUACCUUGGCUUCAAUCAGUUUGGUUAAAACAUUGGCACGUAAGUAUGUGCAAAAUGCUUCAAGCGAGUGCUUUUUUCGAUCAACAUGCGACUUGGCUCCACGAACAUAAUCCAAAGGGUCAUCUUGUAGAGCAAUGGUGAAGGGGACAAGGACAUAUCCAAUCCUAUUGCCCCACUUUGUCUUGGAUUUCUUAGCCAUCAUAUCAGCCAGAUCCUGUUAUAUAUGUGUAAUUAGAGAACAUUGGAGAAAAGUCAUUUGUAUAAAUAUUUACAGAAACGCUGACUAAAUUAUAAGCAUAAGCUUGAGGGUUGAGGAAUGCUAGCUAGCUAGGUAUAUAUUUGAUUACCUGGAUCCCAGCAGCUGAUCGUAAAUUAACGAGAAUAUUUUCUCUAAGCCAGAUGCUUUUUGGAAGAUUGUUUCCCUUCUUCUUUGCUUCCUCAUCUUUCUCAUUUUCACCUGCUGCAAAACACAGAAAUGUGCUAUUAUGUACUGGUGAGUAUUUUGAGGUUUUGACAAAUUUUUUCUCUGGUAUCAGUGAAUAUGAUAAUAUGUAUGAGGAAAUGGAAAAUGAUCAUUAGAAGCUAUAGUUCAACUUAAAUGAUAAGAUGAAUAGAUAAAUCUGUGUUAUGGUUCUAGAAGUUGUACUACCCGAUUUGAAUAGUAGAUCAUACAGAAAGAUACUAUGGGAGGUCUGGUAAUAUGUAAACAGAAACUAAAUAUGAGUCCUAUCAGAUGUUUGAGGCAAUCCCCAUCAGUACAUGGCUCCUAAACCACAUACUUUUAUCAGUUUAUGACGCCAUGACCAAAUGUUAUGGUUUAAACUACUUCUGAAGUUGAAAUCAUGCUUAAAUCAACCCAUAACUUCUUAAUUUGUUAAUAUGUAUAUGAGCAUAUAGAGUAGAAUCAGUUUAAAGCUGGUAUGUUGUUCAUUUCAGCCAAAAUGUUCUUGACAACUACUUAAUUUGCAUGUAUAUCAGUCAUUAUGAAUUUGAAUCGCAGUCAGAGAUAUAUACUGAAUACUAAAACUAUAAGGAUGUCUGGUUGACAUACCAUGUUCAUAGCAUUCUUUACUUGCUUGAUGUGAUCCAAACUAACCGUUCGAUGCAAGAAGCGCUUGGCAGUAAGCUCAACACCAGCCAUUAAUAGGAGUCUUUGUAUCUUUCAAAAACAGAAUAGUGGCAACAAACAGCACAAGAUCAACAAAAGUGUUCCCCAUCAAUGUUACUGCUGACCAAAUAGAACCACCAGAACACGCUCGAAUCACUUGAAGAACUACCCUCAUGUUUCCUCUGGUUUGGACUAGGCAAAGCAUCCGGGUCAGAUGUUUUUCUGGUACAAGCUAGUAGAAGUGACAUGAGGGAUGCACCAUCCCCCAUCGAGUGGUGAAUCCGAAUCACUGCAACGGCUUCUGCAUCAGAGGUUUUGAGGACAUGGACUUCCCAUAUUGGCUCGGAAAGGUCAAGAGGGCUUGUGGUAAGGUGGGAAAUGUAGUCUCUAACAAACUGGUCAGCAUCCACCAUAACAUUGGCAUCUAAGGGGAAAUAAUUGAGGGUCUUUCAUAGCUGAAUAUAGAAAAAAAAAAAAAAAACUAGUCUACAGUGUUUUUGCUUAAAGUGCUACUGCCUGCCAUGCCUAAGGCGACCCUGCCGGCCACUCAUCCAUCCUGUCUGCGCAUGUUGAAGUUCGAUUGGUUUUUGUUCUGUGUUAAAUUUAAUGUCUGCUUCAAUCAUCAAGAUGUAAACUUGACGCACUACUCUUGGAAACAGUUUGUAAUGCUUCUACCUUAUCUGCCAAACUGAACGAAUGUUCUAUUUUGUUAGGUUCCACAUCUGAUAAAUAUGUUUUGACUAUAAAAUCUAUAACCUCCUUUAUGAUAAUAUUAUUAUCUUUUGCAAGUUUGGCAACAUAUUUACUAGUCUUUUCCAGUUCAUCUUGGUAUAUGUCAUACUCUUUUUUGUUAUAUCUGCGUAUAGUUUCAUUCAAAUGUUGUAGGACAUCCUUUUAGUAGUGGAUAAACUCUUUGCCGUCCUUAGAUUAGUAAUGUUUAUAAUUAUCGUACACUUCUUUAAAGAAUUUGGUUGUUUGUACCCCUCUUGUAUGACCUCAUCUAAAAUGUUUCUAUGGUCAGUCGUGGUAUCUUCUAAAUAAGGUCAUCACAUAUUGCUCUUUGUGUAAUCUCAACAUACGCAUUGUACACUAGGAUCCCUUUCUCUUCUGAUGUUAGUAACGAAAGAUGAUAGUAAAUUAUAAUUUUCUAAGUAUCAUGCUUCGUUAUUAACACCAGAAGAGAAAUCUCCGAUGGCUUUUUCCGGUCAGCCUUAGGUAAAUCCACACACUCAUUUACGUUAUCAACUAUUUCUCAUGCAAAAAUACAAACCAAAAACCACCACCACCAUCACCAACCCCAAGACCACCAAGCUAACCCCAAAAACCACCACCAAAAUUCUAGAACUGGCCCAAAACAGGAUCGGGCAUCUUUUUAUUCAUACCCACAAGCCGAGAGCUGCUCCGCUUUCGCCGGAAUCGCUCUCCGGCAAAAACCCAAACUGUCCUGGACCUUUGCUGCCGAAAUCCUUCACGAUUGCAACCCUCGAUUGAACACCACAGAGAAAGACGAUCUAACCCAAUAACACCCCCUCCAGCCAUCACCAUGAAGUUUAAAGGGAAAUUGUAUGUGAUUACUUGAUUAUUGCACCUUACUGCAACUUUUGGACCUUUGAACUUUCAGUUGAAGUUCUUCUUUGAAUACACAAACCAUAGGUGGCGCAUCCUAUCAAAAUUUGUUUUGAUUUUUGUUUAGAAAAAAGAAAGAUUAAAGUAAAGGGGGAGCUAAAGUAAAAUUAGAAAAUAAUGUAUUUUAUUACUAUAAAUACAUAUUAUUAACUAUGGUUAGUGUGGUUAAACAAAAAAAACAUGUGUCAUUCAUUUAGAAAGACGAGGACGAGGGUGGGGAGCAAAUUUGCAUCCCCUUUUUAGGCUAGUCUUCUUGGAUACAAAGUUGUACUAGGUAAAGAGGCUAAUAUUAUAUAAAGGGGUUUAUUCUCUUUUUAAGAGCGUCGUGUUUAUAAUGCCCUAUAGGGUGAUUUUUCAAGUUCCCAACUUUUCUCAGAGAUGGGUAAUUAAGGUUUACUUUUAUUUUUCAAAAAAUAUAUGGUCACAAUAAAAAUAGAAGGUUCAAUCGAUUGAUAGGUAGGAGGUCGAUCCAACGAUACAAAUAAAUACUCGUCUUACCUAAUUAAUUAACUUUUUCUAUUGAAGGGUCAGAGAGAAAUUAUCUUCUCAAAUAAAAUAAAAAGGUCAAAGAGCAAUAUAUGAAACGGUUUUAGUGUUGGUUCAAAAAUUUAUUACGAAGGUUUUUUUUAUAAAAAAUUGUAAUGGAGUUGCGUAGUUAUUGCAAUCCGGCCAUUGAUUCAGUCUCUUGAGUCUCGUCCUUGAUUGACAGUCGUAAUCUUGUAGAAAUAGAGAAGAUUAAUAGUACUCAUAUGCCUUUUAUUUGUUAGGAGAUAAAUGCUCAAAAUAUGUAGCUACAUAUGACCCAAAAUAGCUUAUUUUUUCUUUCAUACAAAAUGGCACGAAUAUUUUUUUUUGAACUUAAAAGACAAUUUUGUCAUUAGAAUCAAGUAGAGGGUACAAUACGAAUCGAUCCGCUGCUAUGCACAUAAAGGACAAGCAAAAUCACCUGAUUCGUAUGAAUGUUGUAUCUUCAUUACAAAUUUCGACUCACAAGGAGCCUAUAAUCUAAUGAAAAUAGAUCAUAGGCAAUUGUUUCUAACUAAAUUAGAGCAAAGAACAAGAAAAUAAAGCUCCCUCAUGUGAAAAGCAUGUACCAAGAGCAAUUGUUCCGCAAUAAACAAAUAACUGAAAUAAAUGCAGAAAGGGAAAUAGAAAAAGACUUCAAAAAACCUCCUUGCCCUUCAAGCUAGGGCUCUGGGGCGCUGCAGGUGGAGGGGUGAUGAUGGGAGGCUUCUCUUCCUCUUGCAUCUUCUUCUUAUCCUUUUUAUUCGUGAACCAACAGGGCGUCUUCUCUUCUUCUUGAAAGGAGCAAAGCCACGAUCUGAGAGAUUGACAACCUUCAAGUUGGUCAAGGCUAGAAAGGGCAGCGAAGGAUCUGAUAACCUCAUCAAUGGACAAAGUUUUGGUCGUUAACGAUGCUUGGCAAGGGUUUUGAAAAUCCAAAAAGGAUGCCAAGUCGAGUGAUGCAGCAAAUGAUCUCGUGACCUCGUCAAUGGAAAAGGUAUGAGAUCCCAUAGUAGAGUUCGACAUAGAGGUCUUCGAACAGGAGGGGGAGGAGGAGGAGACGCCAAGAAAGGCCAUAGUAGGGUUUCCUCUAAGAGAGGACAUCAAUAAGGAUGCAUAUGAGUUUUUGGAGGCUUUCUCUUAAAAAAAUAAACAAAGUAGCACGAAUAUAAGUUAUCUUUCUGUUAAAAAAAUAAACAAAGUGGCACGAAUUACAUGACAUGGCUAAAGAAAUGAUCAAAAACUUCUCUCCCCCCUUUCUGAUUAAUUAAAAAAAAAAAAAAAAAACCUUAGACUUUUCUCUAACUUUAAAGUUUAAACAACUGAGAUCCCUGAAGCCGCCCAUAUUGGCAAACCGAAAUUCUCCAUGUACACCGUAUGACAUGAAUAUGAGUGAAAAAACUUAGUUAGCUUGGUUUUUUGAGACGACCGAUUUAUAUUCAUUGUUGUUUAGUAUCGAACAUGCAAACGAACAGACUUUUCAAAAAUUAUUUUUAUUUUUACUGAUUACAUUUUCUUUUUUAAGAAGAGAUGUUUUUUUAUUUUUUAUUUACUGAUUACAUAAGAUUCAUAAAUUUACUGAUUACCUUUCUAGAAAAAGAAGAGGUUGAAGUUACUGAUUACAUAAGACUAUGAAUCUUUCAAUAUUUUUUGUUGUUGAACUUAUGAAUCUCAUCUUUCAAUAUAUGAAGUACUGAGUAUUUAAAAAAGGAAUUUCAAUAUAUCACCAAUUAUUUAUAACUAUAGGAAAGGCCGGAAGGGGGCUUAAUUUAGCAUUUUGGUUGCUUUCGUCUAGUCAUUGGAAAGGCAAAUGCAUCGUUUUCGCUCCAUUUGUAUACAAGAUAGCGGGGGAAACGGGAGUAAUGUUAAAUGGGUUUAAAUGUUUAAUAUCAAAUAAAUACUCGGGCAUUGUGACUAAUGCUAAAAUGGAAUUAACUUUUGUAGGUCUCUAUUACUGUAUAUGCAUGGACUUCCUGCGUAGGUUUUGAGGUCUUUAUACCGAUGAAUCAGUAUUACCCGUUACAUCACAAAUGGAGGAGGUAUUUACUACUGUCAAUUAAUAUUAACCUACUAUAAAUUAGACCAAGUCCGGGAACGCAGUGAGAAAAGGAACGACAACAGCGCAGUUCCUCAUAUGAUAAGAAGAAAGUGGAACCAGCGGUUUCUGAUACACAAGAUCUUAUCUCGUCGUGUGUAUGAGAUUUGCGAAAACAAGUAAUUUAUCUCCUUUGUUGGUUUUAAUUUCUAUGUUCAUCAAGCAAUCUUUUGUCCAGGUCUGAUCCUUAUCUCAGGUUUAUGUGAGACAGUCGGGAACAACAGGGAGAGGGAAGAUUAGUUUCUCAGAUAAAAAGGAGAUCUCAGAUAAAAAGGAGAGAGAUGGAUUAGUUUCUCAGUUAAACAGGAGAGAGAAGGACUAGGUUUGAGGUGAGUUCUUUGUUUGUUUAUUUUGUUUUAUCUGUUCAUCAACUGAUCUCUUGUUGGGUGUGGUUUCUCUAUGAGACAUGAAUCCUUAACCCUUUUGAUUUUGAUUUCUAUGCUCACCAAACAAUCUCUUGUCCAUGUCUGAUUGUAUUUGACUUGUUUUCUAAUCUCAGGUUAUGUGACAAGGAGAUUAGUUUCUAGCUCAGAUAAAAAGGAAAGGGAUGAAUUAGUGUCUCAAAUAAAAAAGAGAUGCGAGUAGUUCAUAUUCAGUAGGUUUGAGGUGAGAACUUUCUUUUGUUUGUGUUGAUGCAUCUGUUCAUCAACAGAUCUCUUGUUGAGGUGUGGUUUCUUGUCAAUUCAUGUUUUGUAGGUUACAUCAUAGUUUUCUGAAAAAUCUCUUGUUUCUUUUAUCCUUUUAAUUUUAGCGUUCAGAUUGAAUUUAUUUUUCCUUCCUGAUUUCAUUUCAAGUAUAUGAAAGAGUUUUAAUAGAAUCCCCAAUUUUAUUUUUAUUUUUAGCUAUUCAUAUCAUGAUUGUUUCUUUGACUGGGAACUGUCUUUUUAUUUCUUAUUUCUGUUUGUUCCAUGCUGAACUCCACUAUGCCAAAACUGGAAUAAAUGUUCUGCUAAAGGCUCCUCAAGGAGGAAAAAUUGAUGUUUUUGGUUUCACAUAACUUUUAUUGUCUAAGACUGAAUAUGAUCUAAAACUUGGGAAAAUUAUAAACUCAAAAUAUAGAGGUAGAGAGCAUCCUGAUUUCCAGAAUGAAACGCCGAGAGGCUAGCAAUAACUGUCCUUGUGUCUUUCACCAUAACAUUGGGAAAUAAUUGAGGGUCUUUCGUAGCUGAAUACAGGGGAAACAAAUAAAACUGUACAGAGUUUCUGCUUAAAGUGCUACUUCCUGCCCCCUGCUGGCCACGCCCAAAUCCACCCUGCUGGCCACGCCCAAAUCCACCCUGCUGUGCUUGCUGAAGUUUGAUUGGUUUCUCUUCUGUGUUAAAUUCAAGGCCUGCUUCAAUCAUGAAGAUAUAAACUUGACGCAUUAUUCCUGAAAACAGUUUUUCUAAUGCUUUUACCUUCUCUGCGAAACUUAAUAAAGGUACUAUUUUCAUGGGUUCCACACCUGAUAAGUAUGUGUUGACCAAAAAAUCUAUUGUCUCCUGGAAGGUAAUUCUGUUUUUUUCUGCAAUUUCAGCUACAUAUUUAUAUGCCUCUUUCACGUCAUAUUGGUAUCUAUCAUACUCUCUCUUAUUGUACCUGCGGAUAGUCUCAUUCAAAUGCUGCAGGACAUCUUUAUAGUAGUGGAGGAACCCCUUCCCGUCCUUGGUGUAGUAAUGCUUGUAAUCAUCAUAGACUUGUUUGAAGAACUUGGCCGCUUGUACCCCCUCUUGUAUGGCCUCAUCUAAAAUGGUUUCUAUGGCCAGUCGUGGUAUCCUCUGAAUAAGGCCAUUCCAUAUUCCUCUGUGGGUUGUAGCUCUUUGUGUGAUCUCAACGUACACAUUAUACACUAGGAUUCCUUUCUCCUCUGGUGUUAAUAACGAAGGAUGAUAAUACAAUUUUCUAAGUUUGUUCCUGCAUGAAUGAGAAAUAAAACCAAUAUGUUAUGCUGAACAACCAAUAUUUGUUUAUGUUUUUUGUCAAGUUAUGCAACACUUCAAAUAAAAAAGAUUACUUACACAUCGUUUUCUACUCUUGCUAGCAGGUUAAGAAAAUGAUUGAAGUCUCCCGGAUAGCAGUGUUCCUUUGGAUGAAGCUUUUCGGCCAAUCGGAAUAGGCAUGCUGGGUACAUUUCUAAAGUCUGGUAUGCUUCAUGGGUUCUGUCUGCAAUCUGCUUUAUUUUAUACCUUCCUCCGAUGUUGUCAAUGUCUAGUUUGCCUGAACAGUCUCCUUUUCUCAUCCUAUUGACGCAGUGGAAAAUAAGAUCCCUGUCAAGGCAGAUUGAUAAGUUAUUACCAUAUUAUUAUGUAUAUAGUUUUGAUUUGUAAUGUAGCAGAUUGAUAAGUUAGCAGACCAGUAAUAAGGUAGCAGAUUGAUCAGUUGAUACCAUAUCAUAUAUACUUUCAAAUCAAUUGGUAAAUGAUCAAGAUAUAUCUAUGCAAAGAAAGACAUGCAGUCAACAGAUGCAACUUUUCACAUAUGCAUACACGAUUAAAUUGCUUUUCUAAUAAUAGAAUUUUAAGAAAAAAUGAUUAAUUGACCCCUUGCAAUUUACAGGACAUGGAAGAAUCAAUUUCUACAUCUGAUACUAUAGAAUUAUUUGAUCUGCUGCUAGCCUGCUAUGUACAAGUUCUAUGCUAACAAUUAUAACAAGUACUAGUUGUUUGAUGUCUUAUUCAUUGCUAAAGACUUGAUGUUUCAUUGUUCUUGUUGUAAACGGUUAUGAUCAACUACUGUCUACAACGUACGAUGACAAAGUUAUGGUAUUUAGAUGAAAAACUGAAUACUGUAUUGUUUUUAUUAUUUGAAGACAUAUGAAAGCUGGAGAUUACAGACAGACAUGUAUUGUUUUUUUUACCUCUUUAGCUUUUGUGGCCUUUCAAGUGGUACCAAGUAAGGAACCCAAUUCCCAAUUGGCUCUCACUCUUGAUUGGUAGUGGUAUAUCAUUUUCAUGCAAGGUAAUUGGUUUAUGCAAUCCAAAAUCAAAAUGACAUAAUCAUACAAAUCCUUUUUAUGUAUUAUACUGUGGUGUAAAGGCUUUCAUACAAAGGAGGCAUAGUAAGGAUCAAUUCUAGACUUGCAACAGUCUCCAUCAAGCAGAAGAAUGCAACGUUAACUCUACAAUACACCUGCCAAACUCCAAAAGGAAGAGAGGAAAACCUACAAAGUUUGAUCUCUUUUGGGUUGAUACAAGUCUGGAUCUUAGUGGAUCAGGGCCAAUCUGGAAUUGGGCUCCGGCCCAACCCAAGAUAGGACAGAGGAAUAUAUAUACCUAAAAUGGGAUGCUAGAUUGUGUUUGUGAACUAAACAAAACCCUACUCGGAGAUCUUGCAAGUCCUCGAGCCAUGUCGUAUCCUCAGGAGAAUGAUCUUCGCUCCAUACGGGUCGACGGCUUGCCGCCGAAGAUGGAUGAGAUCUACCUCUUCAGCUGUUUCCAUGACAACGCAGAGGUAUCUCUCUAUUUAUAUAUUUAUUUCUGAGGUUUUGGAAAAAUUAUUGAAAUUCUCUGUAGGUUUUGGCUGCAACGGUUUUGCGUAAUCGGCGAUCAGGAGUGCCGCUAGAUUAUGGUUUCGUGGAGUUUGCUUCUCACAGCGAUGCUGAAUUUGUCUUGGAUUUCUACAAUGGUGAGCGCAUGCCCAACUUCAUUCAUGAGAGAUUCUGCCUCAGCUGGGACACCGAUGGUUCCGGUACAUUCUGGCGCUUGGAUUCUACCUACCGAGAUUGCUCUUUCUUUGGUUAUGAUGAAAAAGACAAUAUCAAGGAUGCCAAGUCAGUGAUUGAGCUCUACAAGGACUCCAUAACUUCUGCUCUUAAUAGAAAGCGAGCUUAUUUGCAAUGUAUGUAUUCUAGACUUCUCACUGCAUACAUAUAUCAACUUGUAUUUCAUUCUCUAUUAAUGUUUUAAAAUUAUACACUUAUGUUCAUGUGCAUCCUUUACAUUACAAGUAGCCAUGUUUGGAAAGCUACUCAGGUUGGGGAAAUGUUAUUUAGUGUUGCAUGCAAAACUGUAUAACGAUUCAAUUGUUUGAGUUGAGAUGUACCGUUUUUAUUUUAAAACUAUGUCGAGUGCUCUAGUGUGUGCAUAUAUGUGUUUCUGAGUAUGUGCAUAUGUAAUCUUAAUAACUGCCUUCACUAGCGUUUACGUGCUCUCAUGUUGUGCAGCUGCCUGCCCAAAUACGUGUGGAGAUUCAGGGGACACAGAAAACCAGCUAGAUCAUGCAAAGUCGAAUGGUUUAAGUCCUGCUGGCUAUAUGGAAACGGAUGUUGACAAGCGUUUGAAGCUUACGGACAUGCCUCUCACUCAUCCUAACAUGUAUCAACAAGGAUGUUCCGGCCCUAAUCUUACAAACCAACAGGUUGUUUUUUCAGACCUUUUAUAUAUCCUCCUUGGCUCUUUUCAUUGAUACAUGUUAACAGCCUUUUCUUUGUUGAUUCAGAACCAACCAGACCCGAUGCAGUGGGAUGGUGGUUGUGGUGCUGGAUAUGUUAAUGACCAAGUUCCUAAGGGAGCUCUGGAAAUGGUUUCCUCGAUGAAGGAGGAGAAGGAGCUGUAUCUUGGUUUCGAAGAAGUCAACUAUCGAAGAAGUUGUUACGUCUUCCGCACCAUCAAACUGUCUGAGUUAUUGGUUUGCUCUUGUAACUUCAAUAUGGAUGCUCGUGAAAUUACCGGGUGCGUCAAUUGUGCCCCCAAAACCAAACAGAAAUCGCAGUUGCGCCAGCGGGCUUGGCUCUUCACCGGGGAGAAAGUCCCGGAAAGCUGCGGCAGCAAAGAGGUGAAAAUCCCAACGCGUAUGGGUUCCUGUGCCUACGGCUCCCGAAUCAUCUUCGCCGGUGGCUUGGUUCCCCGACCAGAUGAGGAAACAACAAUGACGGCAGCCCAUGUGCCUUGUGGAGAUGUGUAUAGUUUUGAGCCGGAGUCUAGUGUGUGGAAAAGGCUUGAUUGGAGUAUCCCGAAGGCGAAACCAGAGCCCUUGCUUUUUGAGGUGAACGGAAAUCUCUAUUGUCUUGCCGGUGCUCCUCAUGAACCCUCUUUCGAGGUAUACGAUAGCAGUUCUCGUGAAUGUUUGUUUCUGCCGCAUCCUCCAGAUAGCAUUCCGGAACUAGGCAAUUGGCAUGGUUUUGUACAUUACAGGUCUUUUAAUAGAUUGGCUUGUGCUAUUGUUGGAUCCAAGAUCUUGAUCUCGAGCAUGGGGAACGUGCCAGCCUAUUACAUUCCCAUUAUCUGCUUCGACGUGAAUGACAAGAAACAGAAAUGGAGAAUGAUGACUUCCUUGUUCGAUGGUAAGCCUUUUCCUUUCGAUGGCAGGGCAUUAGUCUUGGACUUGGAUGAUGGUACACAUGAUAAGGUCAUGUUCUCUUUUCGUAAUGAGGGUGAGAUAUCUGUCUCUCGAUUAGUAGUGGAUGAUGAUGGCGAUAUAAGCAUCUCUUACGAAGGAUGGUUGGGGAUUUUUCGCUUGCUCUGUACCUUCGUGUGUAAACAUUCUCCACCGUCAUACACCUUUGUCGAUCUUGGAGAUAAAACUGUUGCCUUUGUUGUGUGUGCAAACAUGUUUUCUGGGGUAAAGGCUCUUGGGAAGGUGCGUGUUGUUGUCAUAGUCAUUUGCUAUGAUGUGUUGGGCUCAAAAAGAAUCACAAGUGAGAUCCUGGCCACUCGCAUCUUUGAGUACAAUUGUCAUUCCUCGGGCGUCAUGUAUACUAAGUUUACCAGUGGCUUUGUGCUCUAACUCAAUCCAUCCAUUUGUAAUUCCUCCUCUUUCUCUUUAAGUUAUACUGAAUCUAGCUAGCUAUUGCCCAUAUUGAAGAAGUUGUGCACUAGUCGUGACGAUCAUGUGCGGCAACCAUAUUGAUUUCCUCCGAUCAAAAGACAGCAUGAUUGAGAUGCACAUUGCACUCAGCUGAUUUAUUUAUUAUUUAUUUUUGUUUCUAACAAAAAAAAUUACUGUUCUGCCUAUUUUGAGUUUGGAAAGACCUAUUGCUUUCUUUGCGUUUGGUUUGCACAUUGUUCACUAUAAACUAAAGAACACAAAGUUCCAUUGCAGUUUGAUUGAUAACCCCACCCCAUUUUUAUCAAGAGAAAUAUGCUAUUUUACACCAUGAGCAGUCUGUGCAUUCAAGGUAGUUGUAAGUAGAGACGUCACAGAAGUAGUAAGUAGGCUUUGAAAUAUUCUGAUUCAGAUGACAAUUUACAAUGCAUGGCGAUGGCAAUAUCAUUUAUACGUUGUAACUUCUGUUUUGAUUCAUUUGCAGGUAUUAUGUUGUGGCAGAGGAGAAUCACAGGCUGCGACUUGUGAGAGCGUCCUUGUGAGAUGGAAAUAAGUUGAAUGGAGGUCAUUUUUCAAUGCCAUGGAAAUCUGUUCCUUGUACUUUUAUCUUGAUCUUCAGGAUUUGGUUUGUAAAUUUGCGGUGUUGGUGUGUACCUUGCCUCUAACAGGAUAUUUGGAUCAAUAUUUAUCUUUCUAGACGAACCAACAACGGGCCACUCAAGUUGUGUUUUCUUUACCAGCAUUUUAGAUGUUAAGAUAAAUAUCUUUUUUGUAGGUAUAUUGAAUUCUGCUGUUCUGUCAUUCUCUAUGGAAAAUUGGAACAUUGGAAGUGGACAAGGCACAUGAAUCAAUUCUGUGUUUAGAAAAGCCAGAAUGACUGUCUGCACUGUGAUUGUAUUUUGAAGUUAUUAUUGUGCAUGUCUUAAUGUUGGUAGAAUCAAUUAAUCUGUCUGUUUUGUGAUUCUGAUGAGGUCUGACAAUCUACUUAAAAUAGAAGUCAACUAGGGAAGUUAAUUAGAACCUAGACUACAUGUAAUCGACAAUGCCUACAUAGAACUAUACUUCAGGCAGAAAAAUAAUGUUCGACAUCUAGUGGACUCCUAAAUUGGAGCUAAACACAGCUGCGUCUUCCUUCUUUGGCAAUGUUGAGCCCCUUUUCGACAACAGCAUCGUGGAUGAGUUGGAGUGACUCUUCUAAAUCAUCCAACAACUUUUCAGGAUCGGGAAUCACAUUGGGGUCAACAGCUAAGCUAAUAGUCAUUUUAUCAACAUAGCUUUGAAAAUGUAUAUGCAAUGCCUGCACCAAAAUGCAGCAACAAUUUUGAUAAAGAGAACAAAAUGAUGAAACCUUGUUUGUCACAUGGUUUAAAAUCAGUACCAGAAGUAUAAACGAAAAGAGAGAACCUACAUGGGGGUGGCCGUAAACAUUAGGAGCAAUGUAGGUAACUGGAUGUCCGUAAUAGCUAAUUUCUUCAAGGGGACCAAUCAAGUUUGUGAAGGCUAGUGUCGAGUUACAAAGAACUCUGUGUGCUACUGCUCCUGCUCCCUGUAAGACCAUACAAGCAUGAAGCAGCUGUAACUGUAUAACUCAAUAUGAAUUAUGAUUUUGUACCUUGGCUCCAAUCAGUUUGGUUAAAACAUUGGCACAUAAGUAUGUGCAAAAUGCUUCAAGCGAGUGCUUUUUUCGAUCAAGAUGCGACUUGGCUCCACGAACAUAAUCCAAAGGGUCAUCUUGUAGAGCAAUGAUGAAGGGGACAAGGACGUAUCCAAUCCUAUUGCCCCACUUUGUCUUGGAUUUCUUAGCCAUCAUAUCAGCCAGAUCCUGUUAUAUACUUGUAUAUGUGUAAUUAGAGAACAUUGGAGAAAAGUCAUUUGUAUAAAUAUUUACAGAAACGCUGACUAAAUUAUAAGCAUAAGCUUGAGGGUUGAGGAAUGCUAGCUAGCUAGGUAUAUAUUUGAUUACCUGGAUCCCAGCAGCUGAUCGUAAAUUAACGAGAAUAUUUGCUCUGAGCCGGAUGCUUUUUGGAAGAUUGUUUCCCUUCUUCUUUGCUCCCUCAUCUUUCUCAUUUUCACCUGCUGCAAAACACAGAAAUGUGUUAUUAGAUAAUGGUGAGUAUUUUGAGGUUUUGAUAAAUUUUUUCUCAGGUAUCAGUGAAUAUGAAAAUGUGUAUGAGGAAGUGAAAAAGGAUCAGUAGAAGCUAUAGUUCAACUUAAAUGAUAAGAUGAUCAUAAAUCUGUGUUAUGGUUCUAGAAGUUAUACUACCAGAUUUGAAUAGUAGAUCAUACAUAUUGGAAAUUUCAAGUGACUAAACUGCUUUUAGAAGUUGGGAGUUGGAAAUUUCUCUGAAGCCUCCAAGGUGUUAUCCAAGUGAAAAGAAAGAGGAAAUACGGUACUGGUUACUAAGCUAGUAGUAACAGAACACAGAUAUAAUCUUCAGAGUUAGGCCAAGAGAUCUUACCAUAUUUGUAGUUCAAAUAUUGCGAUAGACCCGCUUGUGUCACUCCCAAUACAACAUCGUUGAUGGUCUGGUAAUAUGUACACAGAAACUAAAUAUGAGUCCCAAUCCCCAUCAUUACAUGGCUCCAAAAAACCACACAUACUUUUAUGAUGGCCUGACCAAUUGUUAUGGAUUAAAUUACUUCUGAAGUGGAAAUCAUGCUUAGAUCAACCCAUAACUUCUUAAUUUGUUAAGACUUAUAUGAGCAUAUAAAGUAGAGAGUCAGCUAAACGCUGGUAUGUUGUUCAUUUUCAACCAAAAUGUUCUUGACAACUACUUAAUUUGCAUGUAUAUCGUGAUUAUGAAAUUGACUCACAGUCAGAGAUAUAUAUACGGAAUACUAAGACUAUAAGGAUGACUGAUUGACAUACCAUGUUCAUAGCAUUCUUUACUUGCUUGAUGUGAUCCAAACUAACCGUUCGAUGCAAGAAGCGCUUGGCAGUAAGCUCAACACCAGGUGGACCUUUAAUAGGAGUCUUUGUAUCUUUCAAAAACAGAAUAGUGGCAACAAACAGCACAAGAUCAACAAAAGUGUUCCCUAUCAAUGUUACUGCUGACCAAAUAGCCAAUAACAACCACCAGAACACACUCAAAUCACUUGAAGAACUACCCUGAUGUUUCCUCUGGUUUGGAACACUAGGCAAAGCGUCCGGGUCAGAUGUUUUUCUGGUACAAGCUAGUAGAAGUGACAUGAGGGAUGCACCAUCCCCCAUCGAGUGGUGAAUUCGAAUCACUACAACGGCUUCUGCAUCAGAGGUUUUGACAUUGACGAUAUGGACUUCCCAUAGUGGCUUGGAAAGGUCAAGAGGGCUUGUGGUAAGGUGGGAAAUGUAGUCUCUAACAAACUUGUCAGCAUCCUCCAUAUCUGAAUCCAUGUUUGGAACAAUAACAUGAUCCUCCAUAUUUACUGAAACUUGUAUCCAUCUCUUCUUACCACAUAAGUUUCUGUCCUUCACCUACUAUCAAAAAUUUAUCGAAGUCAUAAGAGAGAGAAGCAGUUCAUGUUCCAAAUUAUAGAUUGUACUUUUGAUUCCAAUCUGAAAAAGUGUUCUGCACCUUACACCUACAUAUUGUUCUUUUUGAGAAAAUAUAUAGCUCUACCUAUGAUUCUACUAAAAAAUAGAAAUGCAAAGCUUCAAUGCAUGUUCCGCAGACUAUAUAUUGUACUUCUUUACAUGUUAAUUUCAAAGGGCAUAAACUAAGAACAUAUAUAUAUGCAUAUAACAAUGAAGAAAAGAAGCAUUUGAUCAGAAAAGAAAUAGGAAUAGAAUUAUUCUAUUAUACCAUUAUGCUAGAGAACCGAGGAUGCAUAGGCAAGUGUUCCUUCAAGCCGGCGCUGAAUACUUGAGGAUUGAUCCAGGUGCUGCAGCCCAUUCUCACAACAAUGUAACAGCUGAACUUUGGCGAGUGAAACAGACGCCCUGUUGGGCUUAGACUUGGCCGCGGAUCUUCCAUCUCUGCCUCAAAGUUGAGUAGCAAGCUACUUGUGUUCUCCAUCUGGGUAUUUUCUUGUCUUUGUAUCCAUGGUGAUGCUUCAAUAUGUGGGGAUUCUGGGGAAGUGUGAGCUUGGAUUAAUAUUUAAAGCUUGGGUCAGAGAGUACUGAUGGGGUUUGAAGUUUGAACCAAGUGAAGGUAGUGAUUCAACUAGAAAAGGUUAUGUACCGGACUAGCUUGGUUUCCUGAUCGGGAAAGUUCUAACUGUUCUAUGAAGACUGGAAUAACAGAAUCUAAAUGGGAGUUGGGAACUGUUUCAUUUUCUGGUAGAGAUCGUCUUUGAUCGAAGACAACAAAAGUGCAUUGACUUGUAGACGUGAUAAUAAUGGGCCAUGAAACUAAGCCCAAGAAGGAAGAACCUAAAUUGCAUAAUAACAACCAGUAUUAUUUGGUUAAGUUAACUUUAGCCAUUAGCUUAUCAUCGAUUGGGGGUGUAGCUCAUAUGGUAGAGCGCUCGCUUCGCAUGCGAGAGGCACGGGGUUCGAUUCCCCGCACCUCCAUUCUUUUCUACACAAGUUUUGCUGCUCUCUUUUUUUUNUUUUUUUCCCCCCCCCCCACUCUUUUCGGUUUUUCCCUCUCUUUUUUUGGUCAAAGGUUUUUCCCUCUCACCAUCGACAUUUCUACAUAAGUUUUUGCUGUUUUUUUCUCCCCCACUUUUCGGAUUUUCCCUCUCACCGUCGAGAUUUGGUUAUGUUUCUUGGGGUUCGGCUGCUAUACAUACAUAUGUGUAUGACAUACAUCAAACCGUGAACCGUCUGAUCAUUUAACAAUUUAAAAUUUAAGACGAUCUGACGGUUCACGGCUUGAUGUAUGCUAUACAUAUAAGAUCUGACGGUUCACGGCUUGAUGUAUGCUAUACACAUAUGUAUAGUAGAAAAGUCUAUGUUCUUGUUAAUAUAUCAUUUAAUUAAAUUAAGGGAAAGAAAUUACAUAAUAAUAUGCAUCCACAGGGGGUUGGUUUGUAGGAUUUGUAUAGAGCUAUAGUUUGGAUGUCACUCUUUCAAUGUGGUCCAAAGUCCAAAUUGAGUGCAUGAACCUAGCUAGCUAUAGCUAUAUGAACAAGAGGCCUCUUUCCAUCCAUCUUUAUAUCUCAUUUUUAUAUCACAUUGGUAAUUAUGGGUAAUUUAGCAGAAACGACGAUGACAUUCUCUAAAGGACAAUCGUAACAUAUCUACGUGCUAGCUUGUUUUGUACCUAUAUGUAUAUUUAUAUAUGUACAAUAACGGAUCACUGUCAAUCAUCAACUCAUUAGUGUUAUAGCUAGCGUUAUAUAUAGUUGUGGAGUUGUCAUUUACUAUGGUACCAUCCCCCGUUUUUCUCACAAAACGUCAAGUUAGUUUGAUGCCGUGUCUAAUCAAAAUCCAUGGUAAUUAGCUACACAGAUACAGUAAGAUGCAUAUGUUGCAAUAAUCUCGGUGACAAUAUUCACACUAUUGUAUUUUCUAUUUUGUUUAAUCUUGGUGACAAUAUUCAUACUAUUAGUGUAUUUUGUCUAAUUUGGUUGGAAAGCUAAAUAAACCUCUAGAUAUAGAGAUUAAUUAUCCUUGAUCAUAUAUACCAUGGGAAAAGCAAAUGUUGGGUAGAAGUGGUUUUCAUCACUUUCCUCUUGUGGGAGAGAGUUUAUAUGUGACACGUACCGACAUAUUUGAUUGAACAAAGUAGACGUGGGACUGUGGUUUUUGUUUGAAACUGUGAAUCGAUGGUGAUGUUAAUUGGUUUCAAAGGGCAUGAGCUUUUGACCCUCCGGUGUCAUGUUUGUUCCUUGUGCGAUGUAAUGAUAUUAUGAGCUGAAUCCAGCACUUUAGUUAGGUCUGUAACUGAGUCUUGCAAAGAAAAGAAAAGAAAAGGUCUCUUCUAUCUGGACUUCUCUUGUCUUCGGAUCGAUCAACAACUUGAAGUAUAAAGAAACAAAAUAGCAAAUUUAAGUCAUGCAUGCAUGUCAUGUAUUAACUGAUUAACAUUUCUUUUUUAUAUUUAUGGAAAAAAAAAAAAUUCACAUUCUAGAUUAAUGAAUAUGAUAAUGACCUUUGCUCUUUUCAUAUUUGAUGGAUGUUAUAUUCUAGUCAUUGAUGAUAUAUAUGAUGAUUAUAACCGGUGGUGAUCGAGUGUUUUAGUGACCACUGAGCUAGCUAGCUGACAUCCAUCUCAUAUGUAUAUAUGCACACACAAAUUUCUAUUAAGAGCGAAGCUUCGAUUUUUCUUGACGUAGAUUUUCUAAAAAUAGGAAUGCUAGUGUUUGAUUGCAAUAUAUGUAAUUUAUAGAUAUACAACUGGUGAUAUUGUUCCGUUGUUUUCGUUUGAGAAGCAUGUGGACAACUCCAAAGACUAAGGCCAUGUAACCGUGUCUUGCCCAAAAGCAUUGAUAUUCAUGUAUCAUAAAGCUUGAUUUAUGUCUCACUCCUAAUGUCUUUGGCUCAUAUUGCUUCCUCCUUCUAACCUUGUCGAUUUCUAGCUAGUAUUUAUAAUGGACUACUUCUAUAUGAUAGAAGAAAAAUCUAUAUGAUUGAGGUCUCUCGAUUUAGUUUUCGGGGUAUGGAAUUCUAAGAGGGUAAUUAUAACAUGGGAUAUUUAGGUAUAUAAGUGGCGAAUUUUUGCAUCUUAUGGAAAAGGGUGCUAGUGUAUCAUUAUGGGUUGCUUAGAAAAGCAAAAUAUCAUUCUUAUUAUUGUGUGGUUCUAAGAGUUAAAUAAAGAUUGCAAAAGUGUAUUAUGGAGAUUUGCUGCAAAACAAUUCAACAAAUCAUGUGAUUAGCAAGAUGGCAUUUGGCAUUGUGCUCCCUACCAUCAGGGAACUAAGCACAUGCAUGUUUAUCAUUUCUGCAAUCAAUUCUCUGUUAGCUAGUUAGGUAUUUAACUUGUCGAUCAAUCAAUUCCUAUGUAUAAGAUCCACCACUCUCAUUUCUAUUACCAAUUAAAAGAGUCAACUCCUCGUCCUCGUAUUUCCUAUAAUUAAUGGACGGCAACCAUAUACAUUUGCGAUAACUUAACUUAGUCAGUGAUAACUUAACUUAGUCGGUAAUCAAGGGUUUAGGUUUUAUAUCCCUUAUUUGUAUUUGACAGUUUCAUUAAUGAAAAUUUGAGGGCAGCCGCAUCAGCCCUUUGUUUCAAAAAAAAAUUUGUCAGUAAAAAUUUACUUUUGUCACGUAUUUUACCCUAGGUUUUGAACAGACUGAAACUUUUAGAGUAUAUUUAGAGUUACUUGACAUGAAAUGAUAUAAAAUACGAGUUCUCAUUGAAUUUUUACUUCGUCGUUUCGAUCUUUAUAUUCGUAUAUAUGACAAAUACAUUAUGUAUACAGUGUGAUUGGAAGUCGUAUUUUCUAAAUUAGGUGAUAAUUGUCCAAAAAAAAAAAAAAACUAGCUAGCUUCUCACAUAUACAAUCGAUCACAUUGAGUAGUCAGUAGUUGAUGUUCUUAUUCCUGUCCGAUUUUAUAUGCCCUGCUUAUCUCUUGAUAAGUCAUAACCAUAUUAUUCUAAAUCAAGAAAGAUCCCUUUUCUCAAGAGAAUGAUCUUUGGGUUAAAGUGUAGAGUGAAAAAUAUCUUUCGACUUGAUCCCACGAUAUGUCUCUAGCUGCAUUAACAAGCUAACCUAAGCCUUGACAUUCCUUCACUGAUCGAGUUUAUGUCGACCCACUAAGUUUGAUCGUAAUUGUAACCGUAACCGUAACCAUAGACCAUAAAAAAAAAGAUGGAUUAAGAAGUAGGUGAAUCACUGGUUUCCGAUGGAGCUAGAAAGCUGAACCAAAUACUACCAUAAACAGAUGAACCAUCAUAGUAGUAGUUACUUCGAUUCAGUAGAGCAGUGAUGGAGGCAAAGAAAUCAAAAUUGCAUCACCCUAGCUAACUUUAGUUUUGGGUGGGUUGGUUGUGGGUGGUGUCGUUGUAUUCUUACGCUGUCGUUUCGUUAAUUUUUCACUCAUCUUAUCAUUACACGCAGAGGUUAAUUUUGAUUUAAUUAACAGCAACAUAUAAGUUAAUUACUCAUUUGCAGCAAGAAAAAAAAAGAAGAACAAAGUUCAUCUCGAUCAUAUUCGAAGUCUCACUACUACGACCUACUACGACUACUGUUCCCUCUUACACAGAAAAUUAGUCAAAUCCAUGACACUCAUGCACGACUUUACGUACUCCAUGGCCUAUUUAUAAUUCUAUUCUGUCGGUGAAUUCUGGAUGGGUGGCCAUCUUUUUCUGUUUGACAACUAUGGGACUCGUAUCAAAAAUUAGCAAUUAAAAAUCUACUUAGCCUCGAUCAUUCCUCAUCAGAAUCUAUCACAAUUUAUAUCCAAUCUAAAUAGUCAAUGAUUGGCUACUAAUUUAGAUUGUUAAAUCUAUAUACGGACAUUUUAUUAAUCUCGUUAUGUAAUCAAGAUCAAGUUGGUCGAUUUAUAUUCAUGAACGUACGUUAGGCAAUUGUUGGUAACAUAGUUUAGUCUGUCUUUACAACUUGUUACGCCACACAUUACAUUACGCGAUACUCAUUUCUUACAAAGUUACGUCGUUAAAUAUUAUUAGAGUUCGAUUCCUUUCCUAAAAAUAGACAUAUAGUUAUAUAUCUACUAAACUAGCCGGGUCCAAAGGGUAUAUCACAUCUGAUUCUCAACGGGAACCAUAUAUCUUCUUGCUCUUUUGUUUUACUAAAGAGUGGACAUUAUUCUCAAGAAUUAAUCAAAAUCGAAUAUCACUUUUUGCAAGACCUUUUGGUAGUAAGGGUUUUCCCUUCAUCAUCGGGUAAUCGAUCCCCUUUCAUGUCCCUUUUUCCUUUUGUAUAUAAAUUGUAUGCCCAAAUUGUAUAUAUGCAUCUUUCUUUUCACAAGCUCACCACGUUAAGGAUUCUAUUUGUAGAUUAGAUUAUAGAGCACUUCAUUUCUUUUUUUUUAUGUGUUCAAAAUGUUGUGCUCCACUUUUAAGUUUUGGGGUUCACGUGUAAUUCUUUUCCCCAAAAUUCUUGAGCUUUUUGAUCCAUAGUGUUCUCUCGAGUGUCAGUAAUUCGAACCAUUCAUAUUCAUAUUGUAAUUAAGCAUCAUCAUGAAUAAAAAAGAAAUCAUUGUAAAUAUCAUGAAAUGAGUAGAAAAUGAGUGAAUACCGACAUCUAUAUCUAUGUAAGACUGAUGAUGGGCUUCCUUGUUAGAGAAUCUGGCUCUUACCUAUCUCGGCAAAGUCCUGAAUAUAUUUGUUCUAGAAAUGUGUCUUAGCUAUCAUUGAUCUAAGAUCUUAAAGCUAGCUUUCGGUAGUACUCUCUAGGAUGAUGCAGUGGUAUUUUCUCUAUCAUUAUGUUGAGACUAACAUGCAGUUGCGUCGGGUCACCAACUUACCAUUGAUAUUAAACACCUCGAUUGCAGUACUCGAGUAUGGUACUUUGUACAACAAAAUAUAUACGAGUAAUUCACAAGCUAGUAAAAUGAUCGACUUCACGUACUAACUAGGCCUACUACGUACUUUGUUCAUAUUAAUAAAUACAUGCUACGAAAUGAGGGGACCUUGACCAAACUUUGCUUGCUGCUAUUGUUAAUGAGCUAGACUACUAUAUCUCUAUGUGGAUAAAUUUUUGUCAUCAUCCAUUUGGUUGGAUUAAUUGAUGAAAACUAUAUUAAGCUAAUGAAAGUGACUAAAAUAAUAGAAUCACCGAUUAAGUAAAAAUGUUAGGGAGUGUGAGAAGCAGUGCAGCACAUUGACACUUAGCUUAAGAGCUAAGAGAAUCAAACUCAUGCACGCACUGGUAUUUCAACUUUAACUAAUAUUCUGAUGUCACCCUUAUUUUCCUUUCUAGAACAUGAUCUCCCGGCCCUUUAUUGUUUCAAGUGUUAGAAAAAUGAGUAACUAACUGCGAUGUUGCAAUUAAUGGUUUAGUGUAUAUUACAUCAUAAGUUUCUAAUUUUUAUGAAAAAACAAUGUAUAUUCUUAUUAUUCUAUCGUAUUUGAAAGUAUCGUAAAAUUUAGGUGUCAUCCAAUUUAUUCGUUUGCGCGUAAAUUGAACUAGAAAACCGAUGAGAUUCAAAGAUAUGUGUACUUGAAGGAGCAAGUGUAGGAAACUACCAUCAUAGUCCGAUUUCAAAUUACGUCCUAUUAUUUAGCAACACUCGUGAUCUUUGUAGUGUUAGUGACAAUGUCGUAAAUAACAGCAGAACCAAACUAGAGACAGCAAAGGUUUUCUUCUUAACCUUGUCUGGAGAAAAUCUCCAUACAUAUAUACAUACAUACAUCUCCUCUUCGAUUCAGUAGUUUCCAAAAAUUAGAAAGGAGAAAUUAGAGAGCUAGUGAGAUAAGAAAAGGAAGAAAUUAAUACAAAGAGGAAAGCUGUUUAGGAUCGAUCUCUGUGGUCUAUGACUCGGUGGGAGCUCAUCAGCUGAGAUAGAGAGAGAGAGGAAGUAGUAGUAGCCAGCUAAUGCUGAAGACACAGACCUCACAACAACCUCUUCUUUUAUUCUCUCACUAUCGUCCCCACUCCACGCUCCUCUCUCUUUCUCUCUCGAUCAACACCAUCGCCAUAUAUACUCCACCGUAAUAUUUAUAUAUGCACACACUCACAGACUCACAGUAUUAAUCUAUCCACCCUCUUCAUCAUCGUCUUCUUCUUCAAUCCUGAAUUAUUUAUACGCAACAUAUAUAAAUACACAGCACCCCACUCUAUCUUCAACCUCAAACCCCAUUUUCCUUCCUCCUCUCAUUCUCAGCUAGCUGGCUGCAAGGAAAAGACACUCACCCUAACCCUACUUCAGACGUACUCACCGGAAUUUCCAAUGGGAUACGGCCGUCUCCAACCCCCCGAUACCCGAGGUUCUUCCAGCUACAUAGGCGACCAAUCCCCGCCACCGCAAGCCCCACCGAGUAAAAGCAAGAAAAAGCUCAUCAUACUCUCCAUUCUCUCUAUCACUCUCAUCGCCGCCGCUGCCGUCUCCUCCGUUGUCCUCAUCGUCGGCAGGUCCAGUCCCUCGGCGAACUCCAGCGCCUCUCUCCUCCACCGCAAGCCGACGCAGGCCAUCUCCGACGCCUGCUCCAAGACUCGCUUCCCUUCUCUCUGCGUAGACUCACUUCUCGACUUCCCGGGAUCCCUGAACGCCUCGGAGUCAGACCUCGUCCACAUUUCCUUCAACAUGACUCUGCAGCACCUCAACAAAGCUCUCUACCUUUCUUCAGGGCUGUCGAAUCUCCAGAUGGACCCACGCGCCAAGUCUGCCUACCAGGACUGUCUCGAGCUGCUCGACGAUAGUGUGGACGCGCUCACGCGCGCCCUGACUACCGUCGCGCCUGGACGCGACGGUAGCGCCGGGUCUAGCCAGGACGUGCUGACCUGGCUGAGCUCGGCGCUUACUAAUCAGGACACGUGCGGGGAGGGCCUCGCCGACGUGAGCGGCGCGGUGAAAGAGGAGCUGGGUCAGAAGCUCAAGGACUUGUCGGAGCUGGUGAGUAACUGCCUGGCCAUAUUCACGGCGACGAGUAGUAAUGAUUUCUCGGGAGUGCCGAUUCAGAAUAGGAGACUGUUAAUGGAGCGAGAUAUUAUGGGAGAUAAUGCCGAUAUCUCCCGGGAUUUCCCGAGAUGGUUGGGCAAGAAGGAGAGGAGGCUGCUGGCCUUGCCGGUGGCGCAGAUACAGGCCGAUAUAAUCGUCUCGAAAGACGGCAACGGAACUUGCAAGACGAUCAGCGAGGCGAUCAAGAAGGCACCGGAGUAUAGUAGUCGCCGUAUAGUUAUUUACAUCAAGGCAGGAAGGUAAAUUCAGUAGACUAAUAAUGUAGGCACUUUUCUUUUCCCUAUCUUUCUAUUCCUUUUUGCUAAUUGCUUUUUAGGUCUCCGUAUCUAUUAUUCCUUAAAGAAAAAUAAAAAAAUGACAUUUUCUUAUAUCUAUGUUCACAUCGAUGAAACUUUUCGAUACAGUUACUUGCAUCUUGGGCAUUUUAACUGUUUAUUAUGUCCGAACGGUGAAUAAUAUAUGCACCGUUCGGACAAUAAGUUAGAAAUUAAAGAAUUUACACGUAAUUCUGAUUAACCGAUCCGUGAUUGUGAUUAACCGUUUCGAGAGUUAGUGUUGAGUUUUACGACAACACUCUCAUUUUCAUGAACUUUUACUCUUUUCCUUUUUGGAAAGAAAAAUAAAAAAUGUUUUGACGCGUAUUAAUGUAAAUUUCGUAUGGGUGGUUGUCAUACUUGUCGGUGGAACAUAGUGGGGAGGACCGUGAGCAUUGACGUCGUUAUCUACCCGGGUGCUUAAGGUUGUUGUUGCAUGUAAAGUGCGUAACGACAUGUGCAUGUGGUCAAUUCACUUACCUUACUGGCAAGGCAUUUCAUGGACGUGACCAGUUUUACUUUGUAGUAAAAAUGGCUUUUGUUUUUUCGGGUCUGAGAAUAAUUUGGAACCAUUUUCAGGUACGAAGAAAAUAAUUUGAAGGUGGGAAGGAAGAAAACCAACUUGAUGUUCAUCGGCGACGGCAAGGGUGUAACCACAAUUACCGGUGGUAAAAGCGUUUCCGAAAGCCUAACCACAUUCCACACCGCAUCCUUCGGUAACUUCAUUCUCCUAUUUAAAAUUAUAAAUAUAAAUUUCAAUACUUCGAAAUACGUAUAUAAUGUCGGAAUUAUUAGAACGGUGUUUCUCUUCAUAAAAAUAGUGUGGUGGCCGGUGGGUCAUUUUGCUCAUUAUCAUGCAGGACUUGACCUACUACUUGCACGUGGCAUGUUAGUUUGUUAUGCAACUUGGUGAUGUGUGUGUGACCUCAAGGUCCGCAAGACCUUUCUCUUUUCUUAUGCUAUCGACAUUGACGUAAUUACCCUUUUAAAUCACCAAGUGGUGGAAUGUUCUUGUUCUUUAGCUAAACUCUUAAUCUUUUCCACUUUGUCAUAAUGUUUGAUUAAUCUCCAUUUUUAAACCUGAUUUGGAUAUUGGAUAGAAAAUCAUACUAACAUAGUACUAAUAAUCUUAUAGAUUAUUGAAAGUGGGCCGAUGGGUAUAUUAGUCAAUUUAUUAAUGUGAUGGUGAUGCUACAUUUGUAUGUUUUAUUGGUAUCGGUUGUGUUUGGCUACAUUGUGUGUGGCCCUGUAUGGUGAUAAAAGCUGUGAUUAAUGGAUUUUUCUGGUUGUUGGUCCACAGCGGCUACUGGAGCGGGCUUUAUUGCACGGGACAUAACGUUUGAGAACUAUGCCGGCCCAGCAAAGCACCAAGCCGUCGCCCUCCGUGUCGGGGCGGAUCACGCCGUGGUUUACCGGUGUAACAUUAUCGGGUACCAAGAUACGUUUUAUGUGCACUCGAAUCGACAGUUCAUUCGUGAAUGCGCCAUCUAUGGGACUGUUGACUUCAUAUUUGGUAACGCGGCCGUGGUGUUUCAAAAUUGUAGCAUUUUCGCCCGCAAGCCCAUGCCCUCGCAGAAAAACACCAUCACGGCCCAAAAUAGAAAGGACCCGAAUCAAAACACGGGGAUGUCAAUCCACGCUUGUCGGAUCCUUGCCACGCCAGAUCUUCAGCCAGUAAAGGGUAGUUUUCCGACGUAUUUGGGUCGCCCUUGGAAAAUGUACUCUAGGGUUGUGUACAUGUUAUCAUACAUUGGGGAUCAUGUAGAGCCGCGUGGAUGGCUUGAGUGGAAUACCACUUUCGCCCUAGAUACUCUCUACUAUGGCGAGUACAUGAACUACGGCCCGGGUGGGGCCGUAGGUCAACGCGUAAAAUGGCCAGGGUAUCGGGUCAUUACGUCCAUCGUCGAGGCCUCCAAGUUCACCGUUGCAGAGUUUAUAUAUGGCUCAUCAUGGCUACCCUCCACCGGAGUAGCAUUCUUGGGUGGCCUUUCGGUCUAAGUCUAAACUAGUCUCUACUUAAAUUGUCCCAUAUCCGUAAUUAGGUGAAGGUUAUAUUUUAUUGGCAAGUUGUAAGAAUAUAGUCUUUCUGCGUCUAUUUUUUUUGACAAUAUAUAAAAAUAAGUCGCAUUGUAUCCCUUUUUUGUUCAUUCAACUCAAUGAUGUUAAAAGCUAUACAAAUUUAGAAUUUACCUUUCUCCUCUAAACUAAUAAUGUAGUGCUAACAGCUAACAUGAGGACCUCGAUGUCAACUUCAAAUUUGGCUAUGUCACUUGGAUCUUGUGGUCGCCUCUACUUUGUAGUUGUGCCCUUAAAUUUGAUAUGAUUGCCGUCGGUGGGUCGUGAUGGUUGUAAGAAGUAGCUCCAACAUUAAACCACACAACUAGAACAGCGACUCUUAAUACGAGAAAAAUGAUGUACACACUGUACAAAUUCAUAACAUGGAUCCUUCAUUUCAAUGGCAUGAACAUAAAUGACGUAUAUAUCACGCUCACAAUAUGUGUAUGCUUACAUAUACUGAUACGUCAUGCGUGUCCGUUUCUUAUGAGAAAAAUAGUGCAUGCGAGGGUUACAUGCAUAUAACGGGGCAAUGGAGAUGUACCAUGCCCCGAAAGAGCUAGUGCUCGACUACGCGGCCUGUGCUACACAAAUUGUACCGCAAUUAAGAAAUUUCAAAGUACUUUCCUUGCUUUGCUUGGUAAAGAAAAUGAAGACAGACCCCCAAUCAGGUCAUGUUAUCUUUCUGACGAGGGAACCCACCUGUUGGAGAAGACAAUCUUUGCACAGGAAAGAUGGCAGCAUUGUGCAUUAUAUGGCGCAACUUGAUUUUGUCAUUAUGUUUUAGGUCAAACCAAGUGCCUUGUUUGUUUGGUCCUUAGGCCCCUCCUACUAGAAAUGAAAGUUCGGGGAAAAGAUGAACCCCUUCCUAGACCAAAGACCAAGAACAAAAGACCAUGGCCAGCUGUAGAAUAUUGAUCCAUAAUGUGAUGUUGCAGUCCACUCAUGUUGAUGUGAUGUUCUAACAUGCAACCAUUUUUGUGCCUCCAAAACACCAAAUGCUCUCACAUGGCUCAUCCCAAAAGGAUGUGUUCCAUACCGAGUUUGAUCUUCCUGGUUCAUUAUUGAGUUUGGUUGCCAAUUAUUGAUUUAGAUCAGUAUCCAAACUCAGAGCAUGCAGAAUAGAACUUCUUUGGAUUUGCCCUUGAAAUGAAGUUUCAGGUUAGUACGUGUACUAGCAUCCAAACUCCGACUUUGGAAGGCACUGCCGGAGCUUAAUCAGGAAACAUGGAAGACCAAAGACAUGCUCGGUUGCAAUCAGGUAGGUAAUGUGGCACAUCACCUUUGUUUUUCAUCAGAAAGAAAAUUACUCCUGUCACAGUAUCUGUGAAUUGAAAUCGUUUUCACCUGGUGCAAAGAGAAUCAUAUAUGGUUUCAAGCACAGCACUAAAUCUAAACUUCCAAUGAUCAAGAUCAGGAACCAUGAUCAGGGAACUUAGUACAUUAGCAUAAAACGAAUCAGAGAAUCUGGGACCAAGCGUACAAUCAAAGUGCGUGUUAUAUAUUACUGUCUCAUAUUUAUUCCUUCAUUCCAAGCACUAUGUAUGAAAGCUAAAAUAAGGAAAAAAGGAUGGAGAAAAGAUGAAUCAAUUGAGUGGUGGAUACAAGAUUCGUCAUCAGGCAACAGAAUUAAGAAACCUGCAAGCCAUUAGAGAUUGACAAAGAGCAUAUCGACAAAAGGCAUCAUGCCUUGCAUUCAGUAUGUAGUAUUUUUAGUAAAGCUUGUCAAGGUAGCGAUCCAUAAUUGAUGAAACGGAUUCGAGAAAUGAAGCCUCACUUGUUCCAGGGAGUUCAGCUUCUUUUGCUUCUUGAAUGAUCUGUUCAAUAACAGAUUUUUUCUUCAAAGUCUCCCUACACAUGAGGCUUCCAAUGGCAAAAGGAGUGAGUCCUCUCUCUGCACCUUUCUUUAAGAGCAUGGUGGAAAUACGAAGAGUGCGCGCACAAUCGGGUGGUAGGUUCCAUCCAUGAAACUUCAAAAGUCCAAUAUCUUGUUCAGCAUCUAGUGAUUUGAUAUAGUCAAUAGUGUCUGAGGAAAAAGGUUGUUGAGCUUGAGGCCAGUAAAGCCAAUCAAAUGUGCAAUCUUCAAACUGCAUUUACAUAAUGAAAAGCACAAAAGACAUCAUUCCUCAGACCAAAGUUUCAAAAUUUAAGAUUCAAAUGCUACAAAAAUGGUUAUGUGUAGUUGUGUACUGUAAAGUGCAAUGGAUAAAACAAAUCUCAAUCAUAGGAGAAGAAUACUUACUUUCUCGGGCAAACAAUACCCAUGAUCAAUGGGAAUAAGCACUAUCUCACUGUCUUCACUAUCCCUGCUAAUCAGUAUGUUUCCAGCAUGCCUGUCUGCAUUUGCCAACCUCAUGUCCAACACAGAAAUUUUAUGUACCUCUUGCACUGGAAAAGCACGAGGACCAAUAUCUUCGCAACUUCCUUGGUUUUUCAUGAACAUUUGAAGUGAUCCAAUCUUCAUGUUCUUGGCAGCAGACUUAUAACCUUCUGGAUGAUUAAAUCCAUUGUGCAAACACUUCACCAUAACUGUGGGUGGCACCCCGGCAAAACCCUUCUCCUCAUUAUAAAACGUACGAGGUCCAGUCAUUGGAUGAUCCAGAGUGUAAGCUGCAACUUCCCUCAAUGCCCCUUCUCCGACCCUUGUACCCUUCUUCAAACCUUCACCAUUUAAUGACAAGGGCAGUCCUCGAGGAUUGUUCACUGCCAUCGGUUCCUCAUCUAUUGGCUUAAAAACAGAAACAUACUUCAUACCAGAUGAGUCUUGCAUAAAAUAAGCUCCACCAGAUCCAUCUGAAGAGGGAAUUGGCACACAGCCUCUUUCUAGCCCAUCCAAAGUAGAGUAAAUAAGCUUUUUGAUCCCUAUCGAAAAUUCAAUCUUCGGAUUUACAAUUAGAGGUUCCAAAAUGACUUCUCUUCCAAUUGACUUCCUCCCUAAAACUUGACAUCCCACAACGUCUUUGGUACAAGCAGGCUUCUUCUCAUUCAAAUUUAAAGCCUCAAUUGACACUACAAAAUCCUUCUCUAUAGGUUUAGCUCUGACCUUUGCAGAUUUCCUAACAAGCAAAUGAAUAACAGCAUCAUUACUUUUGCAUAUAUCAUUGAUGAGUCUCUGAUCUUCAAGCUCUUCGCCAUCACAUAAAAGUUCCUGAUCGUUGAGAUCCACAGACUCUCUCCCUUUCUUAGUAAUCUGUUGUUUCACAUAACCGACAUUCCUACUCCUCUCAACAUGCAACUCAAACUCCUUGCCACAUACAGUCCUAACAGUAAUAGCCUGGAGAUCCGAAAGCCUAAGUACCAAGUGCAACAGGUUCCCAUCAGUUACCCCAUAGUCCCUAACACAAGAAUUGUUCCUAGCCAAUUCCCUACCUUCAAAAACCAGCUUCUGUUUCUUCACAAAAAACCCUUUCGAGGCCUGGAUUCUCAGUUUCACCGCAGCAAUGGAAUCCGACUCAGUGACACACAUCGGAAUCACAGACUCACCAACACUCAGGUAUAUCAAAAUGGAGUCACCCGAUGACAGCCCAUGUCGACCAGGGAAGUUCAAAGAUUCAUCGUAUACAGGACCAAGAGCUACACUGGCAAUAGACAUUGUAUUGGUCCUCUAAAUCUAACACCCUUAUAACUCAAUCCCUCUCUCACAGCUGUGAACUCUCAAAACCCAAACCUACUCACAGAUUUAAACUCAUAUUCCCUCCAACUAAAACUGGGGCUAAACCAAAACGCCAAGCCCCACACCAAUAAAAGCCAACCCUAUGUAUAACAAUCUUCCUUCUCUUCUUCUUCUUCAAAUUAUACGUUCCUGUUAGCAUUAAACGAAAUAACCUUCCCAGCUAGCUUCACCCUACAAAUUCAAAAACUUUCAAUCAGAUCGUUUCAUCUCUCGGAUUGUUGUUACAUCUUUUCUCAUCCCGGAAAUCCAUUUUCUAUAUCAUUUCUAAUAUCUCUAUCAAAAAUAAAUAAACAAAAACUAUAUAUGCAUAUGAAUCUAUCUAAUACAUGUGCAACUAAAAUCAACAGGUCAUAUACUUUAGAAAACAGACUACCAACAAAGAACAUGAAUAAAAACGAUGCUGCUAAUUUUUGAGGAAAAAAAAAAUGUUUAUACAAAUUAAUCAGAGUCAGUAUUUCUGGAAAUGAAUCAAGAAACAAGAACAUGCAACGUUACCUGAUGAACAAGCCGAAAACGUGAGCAGAGAUACACAGGCGAGGCGGCGAUCAGAAAAAGGUACCAUAAAUCUCAGUCGUCAUAUUCCGGUGGAUUGUGGUUCUAGAAAUUUUCAGAAUGUGCUUUUUUUUUUUUCUUCUUUUCUUUUCUUUUGGUUUAGUUUUUGAAAACUGAGAGAGGGAGUGUUGGGGAGAAACAGAGGAAGUGAGGAGAGGAUGUGAGGAAGUGAGAAUGGUACAAAACUAUAUAUAGGGUUUGAACACGAUUACGUGUGACGGAAUAUUUGGAUUUGACGUGUGGCGGAAAACGAGGGGGUCAGUAACGUGGUUGAAUUUCUAACGGACGUUACGAUUUGGGUGGGGAUUUAGGAAAUAUUUACAUUUUUAUGAAGGGCCUUUUUUAUUAAUUAGUAAGUUGGAAAAUGAAGAAAUGAUUAGUGGGUGUGUUAAGGACUUUAAGGGUGAAGGUCACACUCUAAGUGGAUUGCUUCCAGAGUUUUAGCCUAGUAGGCUACUCUAGUAGUCUUACUGACAUCGCAACAUUUUAUUUUCACGACACAAUUUCAUUAUAUAAUUAGAAAUAAUAAGUUUAUUAGAACCAAAUAAAAGGAUCUUAAGAAUUCUUACGGACUAAUUGUCAUCCCAUCAGGGUAGUUGAAUAUUUCAUGAUAUUUUUGUAAGCUUGGGCAUGGUUAUUUUUGCUAAAAAUGAUAUUUAUUAAGUAUGAAAGUUGGAUAUUUCUCUUAGUUAAAGUUAACGGUAGUUAACCUUGACGGAAGAGGAUCAGCUCGAAUAUAUUAUUUAGGGGACACGACAACGUGCACAGCACAUCAAACGAACCAACAGGAAGCUCCCACGUGUGAAACGCUUGUUGUUUUCUUUUUAUUUUAUUUAGCAAAAGAAAAGACUAGGGGAAGAAAUGAAAAGCCCAAUAGUUUCACUUUUCAGGCCCAUCACCCACUAGUCCAUUACAGAGAAGAAAACAUCCUUUGGUUUCCAUGAGGAAAAAUAAACCAUGAGCUAAUCUCUGUACAGUAACUAAAGCUUGAACAACAGAAGUUAGAUUUUGAUUCCAACUGAAAAGAACGAGAGAAAUGAAAGAGAUGAACAAAUUUCUCUUGCCACCGGCGUCCACCAAGGCCCUGACAAGACGAUUACUACAACAACAAAGGUAUAUAAGCACAUGGUUUUCAUAAGUUUCUUUCUAUGAAUUCCCAAAUCCUUUCUUCCAUAUAAACUCGAUCACUAUGCCGGCGUGGCAUGUGUCGUUCAUCUGGGAAAAUUAACAGUUCAUAAGUCUUCCUAGCUGCAAUGAGUGCAUUGACAAGCCUGGCUGUAUGUCUGAAGUGCACAUUUUCAUCAAUCAUUCCGUGCACAAGUAACAAUUUUCCCUUCAUCUUGUGCACAUGGUGCAUUAUUGAGCUAUACUCGUAACUUUCUUCAUUCUCAAAAGGAAGUCCCAUAUAUUUCUCAGUAUAAAAUGUGUCGUACCCAUCCCACGCUGUUACAGGGGCACCAGACACUGCACAUCGGAACACAUCAGGAAACCUGGCCAAAGACAUAGCUGAAAGAUACCCACCAUAGCUCCAACCAUACAAUCCAAUGUGACCUGCUUCUGCUAGUCCUUUGUCUAUAAGCCACUGGGCCCCCGUCAGUUGAUCAUCGGCAUCAAUACGACCAGCAUUGUGUUUCAAAGAGCCUUCAAAUGUCAGUCCACGUCGAGCACUUCCUCUGUUAUCCAACUGUAAUCAAGGGAACAGUCAAAACAGUCAGCUUAAAUCUAUACCUGAUAGUUCAGAUAACUUUUCUCAUCAUAUUUUAAACCCUUUUGAAGAUCAAGAUGUCCUUCCAACAUUAGCCAUACUUUUCAGCUUCCAAAUCCUUUAUAAAACAUGUAAGCAGUUGGAUUUUAAAUGAGGGAGUUUUUCUUCAUAUGCAAUUAUAAGUUCUAUACUGACACUUACUAUUACAUUAUAAAACAUAUUAAACUAAGAACUUGGAAAACAUAGAAAACCAUGGAAUGUUGUGGUUGGUACAUGAAAAUAAACUGACCUUCCAUACUAAGAUGCCUUUACUUCUUAGAAACUGCGCUCUCAUGUCAACUGUACUUAUCCAAGAAUCAGAAACAAGCUGGACACAUGGUCCACCAUACACAUAGAUCAUCGUUUUAUAAGGUGGAGGUCCAAAUUUUUCUGCAUCAGGCUUGUAUAGAGCCCCAUACAAUGUUGACCCAUCAUUAGCCCAUAAAUGAACCAACUCUGGUGGCUGAAGUUGAAGCCUUUUGAAUUUUGGGAUUGUGAGUGGCUGCUCAUACAGAGGCAUAAUGAUACUUCCAUCGUGCAAGGAGCAGAGUAAAACCUUUGGAGGAAAAUCUAGGGAGUCGUGGAUAUCAACAAAAUUCCUCAUAUGAUGAUCGAGCACGACGAUAUGCCUCCCCUUGUUGCGAGUCAACUUCACUGGAGCUUGCAAGGGUUGGCUUCCAUCUGUGAAUAGUUUGGUACAAUAAAGGUGUGAUUCUAAGGGCCCAUCCAAAGUUCCAGUGAAAUAAACAAGACCAGCAGCUUCAUUUACGCCAGCAAUCUGCUCAACCACCCAUUCUCCUUCAGUGAUAGGACCUAAGCAUGUCCCAUUGGCAUCAUGUAGGUAAAGAUGUUUGAAUCCAGAUUUCUCACUUGCCCAGAUAAAUCCCCCAGAAGAUUUGGUUAGUCCUUUGUCUAGAGGUGUGAAACAGUCAUGUAAGUUGACCCAUGUGCAUUGUUCUUCUACCAAUAAAACUUUUCUCUUCCCAUUUUUAAUAUCAAACUUAAGGAGCUUCAGCUUGCUGUGAGACCUGUUCAGAACCUGAGCAAUUAGAACAUUUCCAUGCAUCCAAUUUACUCUUGCCAGAUAUUCCUCCUCAUUGUCUGGUUGAUCUGUACCCCCACAGAGAAGCUCCAUCCAAGUAACAGGACCUCCAGUAGAGGAAACUACUCCUAGGCGAACUUUGACAUUUGAAGCUCCCGCAAAGGGAUAAGGGUGAUCUUCUUGAGCUUCUAAACCAACAGAACUUUUACCUUGAUGCAUGAUUCUGAAGAGAGGAAUCUCAGAGGAAUCAACUUCUGUGAACGCAAUGAACUUGCUGUCUAGAGACCACCAGUAUCCAUUCUUGCGGUCCAUUUCUUCCUGCAAUCAGUAUAAUGCUGUGAACGUAAGAACAAUUUAACUGAAUCCCCUAGGAAAUAAAUAUAGUAUCAAUUGAUGAGUUUCUCACCUGCGCUAUAUAUUCAGCAAGGCCAUGAGUCUGCAAAACACAAAACACAGGAGUCAUAUCAACCAAGAGUACAAAAAUGCCAGAAAUUCAACCAUCUUAAUCUACAGAAGUUUGAGCUUUUAAAAUCAAAUGGAUAUACAUAUUACUUUUCAAAGCAAAACACAAGAACACAUUUAGCAAAAUUUUUUUGAUUAGGAUUGAUUAAGGUUACAUAAAAUCAUGAUAUAAAUUAAACAAUAUGCUUCUAAAAAGUCUAACGUGUAGCAAGAACUGAUCGUCCACAUGACUCAUUUAGAUCAUACCUACAGUUACUAACUACCAAUUAAAGAUGACUUACCAAAACAUCUCCCCUAGCGCCAACUGUUAGCUGUUUUGAUUCAUUGUACAACAAAUUUAGAACAUGCAACUCGCUGUCUUUUACAUAACCGAGCAUUGUACCAUCCGGGGAUAGAUGGGGAUCAAUAAUUGGUGAAGACGGUGUGCUUGGAAGCUUGAGCUCCGGUUUUGAACAUGAAAGAUCCUGGAAAUAAAUCUGUCCAUAAACAGAACACCAUAUCAUCAAUUAGAACAGGAUCAUCUCAAGUUCAUGUACGAGUAAACAAAAACAUCCGAUCAUUCUAAAGGAUUAAGAAACAAACCCCUGCUGGCAAUGGCACCAUGAUUGCUCUCUUUGCCGAGCUUGUCUUCACCCAUUCAUACCUCGUCACUCCCAACCCACGCUCCCUCAACCUCUCCCUCCUCAACUUCUCCUCCUCCGAUAUAUUACUCUCGUCAAGUCCACCAUCAGGAGGACUAAAACACACCUCCUCAUUACAACUCUUCAAAUCAAACGCAUACACCUUCCGAUUCAAACUCUGAUCAGGACUAAACAGAUACGUCACAAUGCUAUCAUCUAAACUAAAACUAAUCGACGCCGGAGCAACAUAUCCAGGCAGAGGAUGCUGCACAAUCUCCUCAACCGGAAAAACAAUACAGUCAUCAAGCUUCUGUGAGAUAUUACAAUCCGUGACCGGCAUUUCGCGAGUAAAUGAUCUCGAACGCUUCAAAUUAUUCCUCUUAUUCUCAUGAACUGAUUGCAUUACAAUAACAGCUGGUAUUCGAUCAACAAUUCACACUAUAUCAAUCCAAAAAACAAAAAACAAAAAACAAACACUCAAUUAAACAUAUAUAACCGAUUUCACGAUUGCGUAAAUCAAUUCGAAACUCUAAACCAAGUAAGCGCAGCUCAUUCACACUAACACCGAUCCUAAAUAGCUCAAAAACAAAAUCUAUGAUUCUAAUCCGAGUCAAAAUUGGAGAAAUUACCAGGCGAGAGAUUCUUUGUCAGACUAUGAUCCACUGGAUCGAAUCAAAUGCGAGCGAGCUGCAAAGAACACAAGAAAGGAAACAUCAAUCAAUCGCAAUCAAGAAAAUUAGGAAAAAGAGGAGGGAAUGGAUUUGGAGGUGGACCUGGAGAGGAGGUGGAAAUGAUCGGCCAUGAAAGCUUGAGAAUCAGUGAGAAUCAAAAUCAAAGCGGAUUUUGAUUUUGAUUUUGACUAUCUCUUCUUCUUCUUCUACCUGUUUUUGUUGUUGGCUUCUACUUUGCAAUGACACUAAUCAUCAUUAUUUAAUUUUUGUUUUUUGUUUUUUGUUUUAAUCGUAAUGAUUGAAAUGCGGAUAGAUCUAACCGCGCGUUUGGUGCACGCGCCAUGAUGAAACUAAUUUUUUUUUUUUCAAUCAAAUUAAAAUAGGUUUGAUGCUCUAAUCCGUAUCAUGAGAGCAUAUCCACAACACUGCAUUUCCCUGAUCAUCAAGAAUAACUUGGGGAUUUAAGUUUUAUCAGCAUCAACGAGAUUUGAACCCAAAUAUGAGGGUCGCACACCUAGAAUGUUACCAAGUCGAGCACAUGUGGUGACUGAUUAGCAAUCACGUCUAAAGAUAAUAUCGAUUCUUUUUUUGUUUUUUUUAAUACUAUUUUGUUGUAUUGGAAGUUCAAGAUGUGCAACUAUAUAUACUGAUUUCAUUGUAAUAUUAAUGUAAGGUGUAUGCUGAAAUAGUUCAGUCGCAUACGUCAUACAUGUUAGGUAGAUAUCGAUCAGCAUUGCAAAUCCUACUAUUGCUCAACUUUUAUAAAGUCUAGAGAUUAUGUGUUGCUAACUUAUUGUUACCUGAAUCAUCAACAUGCAGUUCAUUAUUUUGAUGUUACGUUGACAGAGAGAAAAGUAGAUUGCACUACUGCUUGAACCCAAGUGAAAAAUUGGUCGGGGAAAGCAGAUUUGACACAACACUUUUGUGACAUAACCAAUACCUGGUAACAUGCCCAUUUAAUCAUGUGUUGCCUUUUCUUUUUUGAUUUAUCAACAAGCAUGAAAGUUGAAGCACAUCAACUUCCACUUUUCCAUUAUUCAAAAUAUGAGGGGGGGCCAUGAUCAGAUUGUGGGGUGUUAUGCUUUGCCUUGAUUAGUGGCUUCCUAUGAUCAGAUUAGUGGCUUCCUAUGCUAACUGACCCUUUUUGAGAAGGUAACCUACCCUCUUGCUGGGCUGGAGGGGACUACUCUGAAACAGUUGCAAACCCUGAGAGGUUUCUUGUGUCUUGCUCAACCAUCUUGUUUCUUUAUGCAUUGAUAAGGACUCCUGCCUUGUCUCAGUUCUUAUCUCCUUGGUAGAUGGUUUUGUAUAAUAACAAAUUUCAAAGGUAUGGCAUUGCCAGCAAACAAUGUUCUAGCAUUGCCUUAUCUUGGAAGAGAAGAACUUGGACAAUGUGUCUGUGUCCAAGGAUUGACUUACAUAUAUAAACUUAUCACAGGACUCCUGGUGUUACAAAACAUUGAAACAAAACCCUCAUUUUGUGCAGAGAUUGACUUACAUAUAUAAUUUUACUCCCACCUGCACAUAUAUGGACGAUAUAUACACUAAUCCAUGCCUACAGUGGAAUUCAAGAACCGGUUGGGAUUUUGAAGAUAGGACUCAGAAACGCAACUUGCGGAUGAGUUGGCUUAUCUGUGAGCCGUGCUUCAUGGGUUCUUCAUAAACUAAAGAUAUCAUUGUAAACGUGAGUAGCUUCAAUGGAGUGUCGUCAUUCGUUUCAAUUACCAUCUUGGCACAUGAAAUUCUUAACGACUCCAUGGAAUCCUCACAUUUCAUAAUCUUCAACUUCAGAACUCAUUACAAAGCUAGGGAAAGCUAGUGUUAUGUCCCUGAAAAACAGAAGAACAUUAGAAAUGUGGAGCAGAAACAUUACCAUUAACUGCUAUGUAGACGAUAAAAAGUCAACAAUUCUAAGUUUUGCAUCUAACGCUUGACAACUUCAUUUAGGAUGAAUUGCUUACUUUAGAUAUGGUAGAGUCAUAUUCUUGAUCAAAGUUGGAUGCUUCAAAACAUACUCUUUCCACUCUUGCUGAUCAAUCCUCCCAUCUCCUUUUUUAUCUGCAUCACUAAAUGUCUGCAAAAAGAGACAUAAAAACUUUAUAAUAUUCAUCUUAACAAGCAUGGAGAGUUGAAGUCACUAUAUGUAUCAGUAUGCACCUUAUCCACAAUGGCUUCGACUACAUCAUCUGAAAGUAACAAAUCUGAUUCAUGCAAAAGUGCCAACACCAUCUCCUUCAACUGUCAACAAAAUUACCACCAUAAGUUGUGAAAGAAGAAUGCGACUUUAUUUACGCCACACUUACGGUUGUUUUAUUUCAUAGGAUGAAUGCAAAAGCAUGUAACAAUUUAGAGGAAUGACUGCCAUAAGACAAACCAAAAUGUAAGAGAAGGAACUAAAAGAAAGAAGCUUAAAUAAAACUGACCUCCUCUCGUUCAAUGAAUCCUGUUUGUCUCAGAUCAUACAGUCUAAACGCAACUGCAAAAGUAUUACCGACAUAUAUUAGCAGAUAAUAAUAGAUUUAGUAGGAUAGUAUCAACCCUCAAUCUUUCAACUUUUCAACAAAGUACAUUGCAGCUGGACAUACAGGGGAAACUAAACUUUUAAAACAUGAUAUCAUUACCCUAUUAUAAGAAAAAAGUAAACUUACAUGCAAUUUUGUCUUCUACAGGUGCAUUGGGGUGAAAGAAACCCAAUGAUCGAACAAAUUCUCCAAAAUCAAUAACCCCAUUGCGCUUGACAUCAAACAAGUCGAAAAUCUACAUGUAACACCUAAAGAUUAACUUCUGUAGACAGUAAUAGCUACUAGUGCGAUGUUCCAGAACUGGAAUCAAGUAUAUGACUCUCCCUUCUCUUAUUUGCCUUAUCAUCAAACUCCCAGAAACAUAUUACUGAUAACACAAUUCAAAAACAGAGUAGGAGCGGACAUUACAUACCCUAUCUGCAAAAAGAUUCUUCUUAUUUUGGUUCCUGAAGAGCGCUAGUUGAAAUUCUUCCUGUUCAGAAAGAUGGAUAAAUGCAAUAUCAGUCACUGUACAUAAAAAAUCAAAAUUUCACAACAGAUUGGAGAUAAAGAAUGAGGUUGAAAUUAUUUCACAUUUUAGCUAACCUACCUUGUGGAUGAGCCCAUCAUCAUAUAUAGAACUGCUCAAUUUCUUGAAAAGCUCAUACAAGGCUUCUACUUCACUCACUGUAACUGCAACAAAGAAAAAAAUUUAAAAAUCAAAUUUUCAUAUUUCCAUUUUGGCUAAACUAAUAUCAUAAUAAGUAACUAUGAGUCAGGAGGUGUGGUCUAAUCUAUGUCUUUUGUGGUAUGCAACUGUUAAGAAAUAUUCAGCUGUAAAGAGCCAAGACCUUGGUUCUGUCUUAACUAAUGAUGCUCCUAUAUAAAUCUUAUGAUAUGCUUCUCGUUAAACUUAUGUAGGCAAAGCAAUCUUUCUCAAUAGGCACCAAAGGUGUGGAAUUUUUUGAUUUUUUCAAAUAUCACAGGGUCAUAUAUAUGAGUGAAUCGUUUAAAGUGGACUUUCUCAUUAGGGUGGAAUGGAUAAAAUGAAAUUUCUCAGUAGGGUGAAACAGCUAAAGUGCGCUCUGUUAAUAGGGGGAACUGCACUUUGUCAAAAAAGUAGGAGCCAUGUUCUUAUCUGAAACUUUUACCCCCGUAUUUAACAUUUAAUACCAUAGUAGACCAUGUUCUAUCUUCCAGUAUAUAUAUGCAUAGUUUACCACAAUGAUUACCCAGUUUUGACUUCAGAUUAUUAAUUUAUCACAACAAAGUGGCAGAUGGAGAAGGAAAAGAAAUGUUAAGACUAGUUAUGGCUUCCUAAGCCAUUUCAUGACAAAUAUGAUUAUGAUGCAGAUGAGCAAGUUGCAGUACAAAGGUGAUAGAGAUAGCUUACAAGGUGUUUCAGCAGCAAGAACUACAGGGUCCUCAUAGCCCGGAGUUUUCUCUGGCUUUGAACAAUAGCAGCCCAUUAACACAAAAACAUAAUUCACUCACAGAAAUCCUGAAAAUCAGUAAGACCAAUUGUGAGUGCCUUGGGUCUCCAUUUGUAGAAGCACAAUCAAAGAAAGAAGGGCAUGAAGGUACAACCGUACAACUAUUCUAUCAGACACAGAAAAUCAGCACAAUUUCUGUAAAACUCAUCAAGCAACUUAUUUGUAGUGCACACUCGUCUUUCUUUAUUUGUGGGACCUAACAAGUCUUUGAUAUUUAAAGGAGUGAAUACAAAGCUGUUGUGGAAAUUUCAUAAUCUUCCAAUAAUCCAAUGAUUUUCAUCUAUUAUUAAAACACCCUAUACCAAUAAGGCAAUAACCUUAUGUUAGCAGAUCCACCUCCCCUACUAAUUUCCAAAUUACAGUAUGUAAAUUCAAGCAACUUAAAGCUAUCAAUACAAACAUAGAGAUAUCAAGGUAGAGAUGAACUUCUAUUAAUUUCCCAUCCCAUUUUGUUUGGGGCCACAGACCUUGAAUAACCAUAUUCUGGGAAGCAAAUCUCAAAAGGCAUUACAUUGUUUUUUUCAAAUAGUGGCAAAUGUCAAACUGUGAAUUCACCCAAGCUGAUGACAUAAAUCUGAAAGAUAAGUGACUAAACAAAAAAAGAAAGACUCGUGCUUUUAGUUUCUUUCUGUUCAAAGCCAUAAACUUGAUAAGUUACUGAACAAGAAAAAAGGUGAAUUCACACAGAGAAACAUGUUCUGAAGCUGAUUCCAUUUAUAAAACACACAGAAAAUGCAGAAAAACUAAACGAAUCCAUAACACAAAUACCAUAGAAUGUAAAACAAAAAACAUAAUCUUCAUCUUUUCAUGAACUUUCUGCACAAUCAAAGCCAAAAGGCCCAAAACCAAUGUAACUGCGAACCAAACGCCAAAACCGAGCCAAACCCAGUUCCAAUGACAACACAAAUGCCUCAAAGAUCGAACCUUUCCAAAGAAAAAGAAUCCAAAAACAUAAACUUCAAUCCAAGAACAUCAAAAACAUAACCCAAUCUCUUCAGAGAAGAAAUAUGAGAAGCUGGACCUGUGAAUGACAGCUUUGGUGCAAGAAUCCCAAGAUGGGUUCGAUAUAAUUACUGGUAUAGAUGAGCCUCUUCUCUUUGUUUCGAGUCCAAAACGUUUGUCUUUGAGAGUGUGAAAAUCUUGGUUUUCUCAGCUUCGUUUUAACAUGGGGCUGAACACGUCUCUUUCUCUCUUUCAACGUUCGCCAACUGGGGCUGGGGCUGCUUCUCUUCUCUCUGCUUCAACUUUUAAAAUAAGCGCUUUUGUGUAGCUUUCAACUUUAAGCCGAUCCGCUUGUGUCUGCUUAAAGGUUCGGACUCUUUCGUAUUUUGAUAAUAGUACAAAAAAAACUUUUACUUGCUAUCGUUUUAGUAUUUUCUUUUUGGAGAAAUUACCCGAAAGGGAACUAAUUUGCAUGCUGGAGAUCAUAUAGCCGGUGAUACAUCAGAGCACCUGAACUUGAGAAACUACUUUGGUAUAUGUAGUUAACAACAUUGAGAAGUGUUAGAAAGGUCUCAUAGAUCGGUUUAGGAGAAGAAAAAAAAAAAUUGUUCUAAGUUAUAUUCAAGUUACAAUGAUGAAUUGAUGAUCUAGUUGUUGCGCGUUAUUUAAGGUAUUUGUAAAGUAUAGUUUGUGAAAAAGAAAUGACACACGUAAAACUUGUGUAAAACAGUCGUUCCAAUAGAAGUAAAGAUACGGUACAUUAUAAGCAAACAUGGAAUACAUUUUGAUCUCUUAACGCCGUUACAUAUUUUAUCAUACUACAUAUUAUACUCAGCACUAAAUGAAAUAAAAUGCUAUAUACUACAUGAAAAAAGAGAAAAAGAAAGCUGAGUGCAUGAAAGUUUAGUAAAGAUGGACAAAUUAAAUCGAUCUCUUAGCUAAAGGCGUAGCUGCACACAGUAGCCCAUCUCAAAUUUAAAAUAAAACAUACAUUUUUCACCAAAAUUUAGUUCAAAACGCUACAAAAUUGGAAUUUAGCACGCAUAUUGUUAGAGUUAGUCCAUUUUUAACAUUAAUUAAUUCGCGUACAUUAAAAAAAAUUAUAGCCCACCGUAGUAUAAAAUCCUGACCUCAUCAUUGCUCCUAGCUUUCAUGCAUUUGAACAUUCUAAGUAUAUACACUAAACUUAAUAUGUACUAUAAGAAAACUUCAGUUCACAUCUAUAAUCGUACUCACUUUUGUAGAGCAAGUCCAAGAUUCCCUAAAUUCUUUGAUUUUCUCUAUUUUGAAGAAUAUGAGGUCAUUUUCCACUCCAACAGUCUUCCUAUGUCAUUCCCUAAAAUAGGGAAAGAGAUGAAAAAGAAGCUUUGUUUCCCUAUAUUUACAGAUUCUCUAAAAAUAUUUAGGGAAAGAAGAAUUGAAUGUUGCACAUUCUUCAAGGCUCAAAAAUAAAAAAUAAAACAUAAUUUAUUCUAAAAAAUAAACUUUUAUAUUUUUAUACUUAUUAUUAUAUUAUAAUAAGUGAGAAUUGUUGUUAUAAUAAAUAUUUGAAUCUUUAAAAUAGGGAAACUGUUGGAUUUGGUAUACAAAAUUUUUAGAGAUUUUGAGUUUUGCUUCCCUAUUAUGUAGAAAAUAUAAAGAAACUGUUGGACUUGCUCUUAAAGAGUGAUUUGCUAUUUGUUCUACGUCAUGCAUGUAUAUAUGAAGCCAGAGUAGUUGGGCUGUCUUGUAUAAAAAUUGGCCUUUUCCACUAACAAAUAAUAUAAUUCUGCCAAAAAUCAACCAGAACACAACAUGUAUAUAACAUGAAUCCAUAAUGCUCUUGAUCAUAUAUGCAAAGCUGUUUAGAUUCUAACAUCCAACAUGACAAUCUAUCGAUAAGAAGAACAUCUAAGAACAUGACAUUACCCUACUUUAAACAAACACCUCUCCUUUACAUCAAUAAUGAACGAAGCCGGGGUAGUUCCCUAUCUAGUCCUGCCCUAAUUGUGUGAUGCUCGUCUUUUAUAGCAUAACCACCAUGUAUCUCUUAACACACAACGUUUAUAUCUAUGUUAUCUAAAGACGUACAUAAGAACUAAAUACGUGACGUGACAUCCACAAUAUCGUUUAUUCUAAAUACCUAACAAGUCACACCCUCAUUGUCAUAUCGCGAGUUUGCGACUUCUAAAUUGGGUGUUCCUUGUAGUUCUUUAAUUCUCAAGUAAUCUCAAAACCGCAUAGGGAUGAGUUGGCAAGUUUGACAAGGUUAGCCAUAUGUAUAUAUUAAUAGGUAUUAUAAUGUUUAUACGUACCAAUUUGAAUCACCAUUCUUAGUAUCUCCAAGUAAUUGUAAUACUUUGAAAUGUGCUCCAUUCGAUACUUCACAUUUGUAAACUAAUCAAACUGAUAUCUCAAUUACAUGUGUUUCAUCAAACACUUCAAGAACUCGAUCAAAAUUUGUCAUUUUAUUUUUAAUCAGAUGGAUACGCUGAGUCACUUUCUUUCAACUCACCUGUUUCUAUAUAAUUCCAAAACUCCAUGAACCUUUUAGUCUCUUUUGAAGCCUGUGCUACACUGUUACGCAUGUAGAAUUAUUAAUGAAGCCCCAAUUUUUCUCACCAUUAUUAGUAUCUCCAACUUCAAUUAUUGUUAUAUCUCAACUUCAAAUCAUCAAUACCGUUUUAGGAUAUUCUCUAUGUGUGCUUUGACCUUAUGCCAAUAGGAUAUGUAGUUAGACUAGAUCUAUGUAUUCAUAUCCUUACCAUAUUGGUAUUGUGUAAUUCCCUAUAUAAAGGGCACCUAUCAAUGAAUAAGAUGAUAAUUCUCUUGCUAUCUCUUUGUCUCUACACUUUAUCCUUUAUCACGUUAUCAUGCACUUUGUUCUAACCCUAGAGUCAAUAGCCCACCUUUUGUUUUUCAAACCCUAAAAUCGGGCAGCCUUGUUUUUCCCGAUUUCCGACCAAAAUUCCGACUGCCCUCCGCCAGAAUUUUAUAUCCCUAAAAAGCUCUCUCCGCCCCGGAUCCAACGCCGCCGGUCUCACCCUGAGAACCGGCCGGAAAGUCUCCGAACCGGCCGCCGGAAGAUUCCAGACCGCCGCCGCUAUCGACCACCGGUUCACCACCUUCCCUUACUCCGAUCAACCUGAAAUUUUGAUAGCAGCUUCCCCAUCCAGUGCUGCUCCUCCUAUCAAAUUUUCAGCCCCAAAUUCGAAGUAUAAGUAGGCGAAACGUUAUUUCUCCUCUCGGCAGCCUCUAGAAAGGUAUGUUUUUUGAAACCUUAAACUUUUCCAAGUUCAAUAACUCGGGGAGGAUAAAAUCCUUUCCUCCCUUCUCCAUCUCCAUUCUAUGCUUGAGAUUUUGUGCGUGCAGGUACCCAAAUCCCAGAAUUUAUUCGCGGGUCAAGAGUGUGUUUGAUCACUCUUGUUUCUUUGUCCGGGUUGUGUUUGAUCAACCCCGACCUUUCACCGGAUUGUGUUUGAUCAAUCCGAGGCCUUUUUCCGAAUUUUGUUUGAUCAAUUCGCGGCUUUUCCAGAUUGUGUAUGAUCAAUCCGAAGGACAAACCAUUAAAAGCAUCGUUUGUGACCUCUAUCGAGUCUCAUAACAGCUUGGUUUUAUAUGCAAGAGCAAUGUAACAUUCUGCUCCUUUGAGUUUUGACGUACUAGAUGCCUAAGGCGGAUCUUCGCUUGGUAUCUGUGGAACCUUUCAUUGGAAAGGAUUAAACCACAAGUUUUGACCCCCAGGCUAACAAGCCUAGAUGCCGAGAUGCCACAUCAACAAAAGCCUUCAAUGGCAAUCUGUGCAAAAAGUAAUGACCACAAAGUACUGUGGAAUGCACUCAUGGAGCGUUUCUCNNNN